RNAcentral lists this long non-coding RNA (47753 nucleotides) under Eucalyptus grandis. Its description in RNAcentral is "long non-coding RNA (EGRA_LNC004351)". The record is from RNAcentral. Lineage: Eukaryota; Viridiplantae; Streptophyta; Magnoliopsida; Myrtales; Myrtaceae.
UGGUCGAAAGUGAUAUCUUCUAUGAUUUUUGGCAUUGGCAGAGAAGGAAUUGAAGCUGGUCCAGGAGCUAUUCAGCCAGGCAACAGAUAACUGCUUCAAUUUGAAGAAACCAGAAUAAAAAUUGAGGACGCUUCUCUUCUUUACCUUUUUCAUAAAAUUUAUGCAGUAGAGAUGAUGACUGAGAGAAUAGGCAUUCUACCGUUCGAAUAGUGCAAAGAGACCUGAGAUGUCGCAGCUCUGUGUGGGUGAGUUUUGAAGUCCUUGCCGAGUAAAAGUUUCUCAGUGCACAAAAAGCAUCAAUAUGGGCAUCAAGUCAACCAAACAAUCACUCAAAUGAAGUAGUUCUGGUGAAGUAAGAAGUCUAGUCUUGAAUCUUUAAUUGCAAAAACAAACUGUAAUGUUACAUUAGCAAUGGAAAGUUCUCUGUUUUGUUGUUCACCUUCCUUCCCUCUGAAGUUUUCAAAGAUUGCUUUCUUACUUUUUGGUCCUUCUGAGGAAGGUCUUGGUAUCGGAUGGAGCAUGGGCUUGUUUGCCCUUGCAGUGUAGAUCAAGAAUCAAGAAGGCAACUUUUAUAGUUGUGAAAUUCAAGAAAUCAGAGUUUCCCAUGUUUGAACGAGAGAGGAGAACAGGGCGGGCAUCGGCUUUGAACACUAGACCCCUAAUGGGCGUGUGUCGGGUUAUGGCUAGCUUAACCUCUUUAGGGUGCUCUUCUGGCAGGCUUCGUGGCCCCAAAUAAAGGGCCCAACCAUUAGUUUAGAACUCUCCCAGAGUGUACGUAAACAGCCAAGAGAAUAGUAUAUCCUCUUCUCCAAAAGGGACCAUGAGAAUGCUCGGCUUUCUGGUUGAACUGCCCACAUUGUUGGUGUUGUUAGGGUCCCAGAUGACGGACAUACAUUGCUGGCCUCUCUGGGCCACGUGAGCAAAGGGUCAGAAACUGAGGUUGCCAAUGUCUUUGGUGGGUACUUGGCAUCGAUGGCUUGUUAUGGCCUAAUUUGUUGCCUUCUGCUACCGACUAAACUCUCCACUACAUUUUGGGGGAUGGUGCUAAAUAUGAUGUACUUUUGGGCUAGUGAGAGGAAAUCUUCCUCAGAAAGUUUAGUCUUACACCUAACAUUGGAUUUUUCAAUCUCAUUAAAUAUUUAUGGACAGUCCAGGUUGUUGCCUUUAUCUCUUGGUCAAAUCAGCCACUGAUACUCCAGGAUCAGUUUGGGAGAAGUAUGUCUGGAACUGGACUUGCAUGUCCCACCAAUCUCAAACGGAACUCGUGGGCAAACUAAGGUACCACUUUGAGGGAAACCGCAUCAACAUAUAGGACCCUUAUCAAUUGAUGUUGGACAAUAUUUGAGUGGCAUGUGGAAAAAUAUGCAAUUAGGGAGGCAUGUAGGGGCCCAUAAAAAUUUGAAGUUGGAACUUCCUAUUCGGAUAGUCAAAUCCAAAACUUGAGCUAUUUGGUGGAGAAAACCACAAGAAUAUAUAUAGCACAUGAGACCAUUAUCAAGUAAUGUGUGACAAUAUUUCAACAGCUAUGAUUUCACAUUCACGAGUGAACAUAGUGAAUUAAGGCACUUUAUACUUUCUAGGGACAGGUCGAUGUGAUUAGGGAAUGAUUUCCUAGACAAAAGCCUUUAGUAUAGGUCCAUGCAAAUAUGUCUAUUGUCCUAGUAAGAUAUUCUUUGUCCAAAGGAUUGGGUACUCUCGGUUCAUUUUCAUCGAGUUAUUCUUCAUGGUCUUGUCAAUUUUUAGUCUCCUUGGAGGCUAGGUGUAGUUCCCCACUUCUCUUGCCAACAUUCACAUUGACCUCUCUAGGAACCACUUGUCUUUCUCCUAACAUUAGCAUCGAAGGGUUCAGAUUGUUCAUCCAAUUCUUUGUAAGACUGAAUCCUGAAUUUCCAAAAAGGUCCGAGUUAAUCGAUCAAAAGGAUAAUCCUGCACACUUUCACUAGGAGACUGAGACAGUGGGCUUUCGUCCCCUGGACCAUCCCUAGCCGAGGAGGCUUUUGUUGGGUUAGAACCCAACUUUUGGUUAUUGGAGUAGUUGGCUUCACAAUGGUGAAGCCCAAACAUGCUUCCAGUACUUCGGCAAGACAUUCUAUUCUCCAACCACGGUCGCCAUAAAAACAUGUAAGGUGGACUUUCGCGAGAUUGUGAUCCCCAGAAACUCAGUGAUUUCAAUUAGUAAUAAAAGUCCAAGCGAGGGUGAUCGAUGACCAAUUAAAAUGUUAAAAUUGAGGUUGAAUCCAAACUAAAUGAAUUCUAACGCGUCUUGAAGUCUCGAGAACUCUGAAAAAAAGUGAAUUAUUGAUGAAGCACAAACUGUAGAUUGGAAACAAGGAAAUUGUAUUGUAAUUUUGUUGAACCAUAAUGGAUGGCUUACAUUCCUUGAGGCCAUACUUACUCGAUCACUAAAACUGAACAUAUAACAUUAAUGGCGUUCGCUAGGAUGCGUGGAGAAAGUAAAAAAGUUAACAAAACACAACAGGAAUGCUUCUAUAAACAACGACAAAUAUUGAAACUAGGAAACCUAAUAUAAAAUGAAAUUCAAAUCCGAAUUCAGGUUAAUCUGAUCUACUCUAAAUAACCUCCUCAUCUUCAUAUCUUCACAAUUAUUCUAAUGUGCUAUUGGGAUUUUGUGGUGCCUCUCGUUGAUUCUUCUUUUGUCUUUUAAAUGGACAAUUGCGUUAUACAUUCUAAUCUUCCUCCACAAGAAUCAUUAGACAUCUUCGCUUGCACGCUACUCUAGGUGAUUUGCAACUGCUCUUGAUUUCUUAGCAAUGGUUACUCACCGGUAGAUAAAUCCUCCUUAGGUCAGUCUUUAACUUCUAUGCAUGUUUCGAAUCAAUUGAUAGUCACCUAGUAUCAUGCAAUUGGCUCAAAUACUGUCAAUUAGAAACUUGUGAUCGAUGAGUUCAUUAGAAGUUUCAUAUAGGCUUUGUGGGUUAAAUGUAUUGUCAUGGCCUGAUUUGAACUUAAUUUGGAUUGCUAACUUCUUCAUGUUUGGGCCUAAAAUUUAGGUCCGAUUUCAACAUGGAGUUAGUGGAAUAAAAGAGGAAAAGAAAAUUAAAUGCAACGUCUUUCCAUGCCAUCGAGAAUGAAGAAAGAAAGAUUGACCUCUAGGUUGUCCGGUGUUGGUUGAAGAUGCCCCGCCGCGGGGAAGGGGGGGGGGGGGCGGUUGGGUUGGGGAGAUCGAGAUACCUGAUGAAAUAUGUCCACGGCUAAUGCUGCACACUAUUCCUCAAGUAAAUCAACAUCUCCGUCCCAAGUUUCAUGCUAAUAAAGCCGUGAUUUUGGAAAAGUCUCAAAUAGAAAUAUGAAGUGCCCUCUUUUUACUCAAAAGAGAAUUAUAGUCCGUCUCAAAUAAAGAUCCAAAAUAAUCAUUUGGUCUCAAAAAAGGAUCUAGCUCGUCGACCGGCGAAGAAAUGCAUCUCCCAUGUCUGGUUAGGGAUAAUUUCAUCCAAAAAUAUUCUUUUUUCGUUUUCCUUUACCCCUGUUCAUCUUCGUCUUGAUCCUACCUAUGUUGUCCCUGCUCAUCAUCUUCUUGGUCAAUGUUGAAGACAGGCAUUGCCCAGAUCAAGAACAGCGGGACUCGUUGGCCACGGGUAAGGGCCGGCGAGGCCACCCUCGCUAGAUUGGCAGCGGGUGAGGUCUUGCAAGCCGACCCUUUGGCGAGGGUGGCCUUGCCUGUGGCCGGUGAGGGCCGUCACGGCCGGCGGGGUUGGCGAGCCCUCGUCGGAGACCAUUUGCCUGCUGUUGAAUUUGGAUUAUCUUGCUGUGUUUUGCUUUCCCAAUGGGGUUUCUAGAGGUUUGAUGCUCGCGACUCGACGUCGCGAACUGAGAAUUCCCUCUAAAAGUUCGUUCCUUUUUCCUUGAAUGUAUCUGUACAUAUCUAUAGUGCGUCCUUUGCUGACGACUUGUCGCUUACAUGUCUCUGUUGGGUCCUUACUGAAUGAGAUGGUUAGCUCAAUUUCUUAUGCUGCGGAGCUUUCUGCUCGUGAUGCUGAUUGUUCGGCGGGGUCGGGGGUGGUGGGGGGUGGGCGUAUAGCAAUUCAGAGAAAUCAGAAUUUCCUGUAGUUCGAGGCAUGAUUUGUGAUCAAGGCGGGAGGUGCUCUGUUUGGUGAAAGAUGAGUUAAGCUGAAGUUGCUACUUUCGUCAAGCCGUAUGGCUAUCUGGUAUGCCGCGAUAGGACGUCCCCCUCUCGCAGUUGUCAUUCCGCUCAUUGCUUUCCGAGGGCCAGCGAGGGCCUGCAAGCCUUCGCCUGCUGCCGAUCUGACAGGGGCGGCCUCUUCGGCCGCUGGUACCCAAAUUCGGUGUUCUUGAUUUGGGCAAUGCCUAUCUUCAAGAUCGACAAUAAAGAUUAUGAAUAGGGACAGCCAUGGGUGGAAUCAAGAAGAAGAUGAACAGAGGAAAAGAAAACGAAAAAAUAAUAAUUUUCGGAGGAAAGUACCUCUGACCACACCAUUGGAAUAUGCAUCGGAGAUGUAUUUGUUCGCCAGUCGGCGAGUUAGGUCUUUCUUGAGACUAAAUGACUAUUUUGGUUCCUUAUUUGAGAGAGAUUACACUUCAGAUCUUUUUUGAGAUUAUGAGGGCACUUUAUGUUCCUAUUUGAGAUUUUCUCUAUGAUUUUUGUUGGCUUGUUUUGCUUGCCUUUGUACGAUGGUCACAUGCAAUUAGGCAUCUUGGCUAGUUGGGCAAAACCACCAUAGGGUACUUGGGUUGACGCUACUCAAGUCGAAAUGAAGUCAGUAGUCCUCAUUAUAAAAAUUGCUGUGGACAAUGCUUGACUCUAAAAGGAGCAAGCGUCGCUCAUUAUAAAAAUUGCCGACCAAUUGCUUUCCAUUUAGAUGUGCUUGGUUUCAAUGUAUUCUCACGCAACUAUAUGUGCUGUGAUUUUUGUCAUUUAUGUCUAAUGCUAUAUACUAUUUCUCAAGUAAAUCAACUUCUCCAUUGCAAGUUUUGUGCUGUUAUUGGCUUGUUAUGCUUGUCUUUGUCCGAUGGUCAUAUGCAAUUAGGCAUCCGGGCUAGUUGGGCAAAACCACCAUAGGGUACUUGGAUUGACCAUGCUCGAGUCGAAAAGUAUCAUUAGUGCUCAUUAUAAAAAUUGCUAUGGACAAUGCUUGACUCUAAAAGGAGCAAGUGUCGCUCAUUAUAAAAAUUGACGACCAGUUGCUUGCCAUUUAGAUGUGUUUGGUUUCAAUAUAUUAUCACGCAACUAUAUACGCUGUGAUUUUUGUCAUUUACGUCUAAUGUUGUACACUAUUUCUCAAGUAAAUCGACUUCUCCAUUGCAAGUUUCAUAAAGCUGUGAUUUUUGUCGGCUUGUUAUGCAUGUCUUUGUUUAUAACUUACUAUAGAUAGUUUUACUUUUAUUUUAUUUUUUUUGGUAUGUUAUUGAGUUUGUGAGACUUAAUUUCAAUAUCAAUGUAAUGAUCUUGUUGUUUGUCAAAUUUUUUUGUCUUUUUCAUUUUUUGGAUUUUGCUUUUACUUGAUGAUGCUGUUGGCAUGUCUAUGGUCGUAGCUAAAGUGCUGGUGUGGCUAGUGAUGUCUAGUAGUAGUGGGUCUAUUAAGAUGGUUCGGUUCGAGGCUUGUGUUGUUUCUAGUGCAAGUGUGCAGUGCGCACAUCUUGCACCGGGUGGUACGGGUGCAAGGCUCGACUUGCAUCAACACCUUUUGCGGCAUACCCGCAAUUAGUACAGUGGCUGGUGGCUGGGGUGCUAGUGUGGUGGCUAAUGGUGGUAGCUGGUGAUGCCUUGUGGUGAUGGGUUUGUGGUGGGAAUUUGGUUGGCGGCUCAUGCCGCACUUGGUGCAAAUGUGCAGUGUGCACAUCUUGUAUCAGGUGGUGUUGGUACAAGCUGUACCUUGUGCAGUAGACCCACAACCAGCACAGUGAUUGGUGGCUGGGGUGCUAAUGUGGUGGCCAGUGGUGGUGGUGGGUGAUGGCUGAUGGUGCUGGCGGCCGGUGAUGCUUGAUGGUAGUGGGUCUAUAGUAAGGGUUGGGAGCUCAUGCAACACCUAGUGCAAGUGUGCAGUGUGCAUAUCUUACACUAGGUGGUAUUGGUGCCAAGUGGGUGCGAGGCUCAGCUUACAAACACCUUCUAUAGUAGUAUACCACUAGCACAGUAGUAGCUAGUCGUGGCUUGAGGUGGUGGAUGGGGUACUUGGUGUGGCUGGUGGUGGUGGCUGGUGGCCGGUGGUGACUGAUGAUGGUGGUUGGUGUAAUUUUUAGGGGAAACCUACAAAAAUUGACACUUAACUGAUAACAUUCUAAAAAAUUUAACAUUUAAAUGUUCAAUUUUAACCGUAAGUGAUACUUAAGUUAUCACUUCAAUAAUAACUUGACACUUAAGUGAUAUUUUUUUAUCACGAUUAAUACUUAUGGCACUCGAGUAAUCACUCGUGUUUGUCCUAUGUAUAUGCUGGUUUGUAGCAAACCAGAGAAGCUGCUAGUUUAUAUUUAGUUCAACUUAUAGCAACUUCAUUCAAUUCAAUGUUUUGCUGUCGGUUUAUGUAUAUAUUCAGCUCAAGUAAAGAAGUCACCACAAUACAUUGACUCAAUACACAUCCAUCAUUGUUGGUUUAUAUUCAAGAACAAGUAAAAAUAUAGUACGACCAUCAUUUCAUUCACUCAUUCUCUUUCCUUGACCUCUCCACAAGCAUAAGAAGUAACCCAUGAUAUAUAUGAUAGCACAAACAAUAACAAAGCUACAACGAUCUUGUGGACAACACAAACUUCUUCUCAUCUUCCAUAAAAAUGCCUACAUUUGAUCCAAAACAAUUGCAUUUGUCCACUCAUUUUCAAUUAUGGCAGUCAAAGAAACUUCUUCUCAUCUUUCAGUGCCUAACAUUUCAUCAUAAAGUAGGAUAGAUAACAAAACAAUACCACAAUAAAUGCUUGGUAACAUUUCCGUUCAAUUUUCAUUCUUGAAACUUCAUUCUACAAAUGUUUAGCCGAAGAUGCUUGAGCUUGUAUUGAAUCAACAUCGUCCAAGUUGUCCACAAGCGUAGAUGGAGGUUGAUGUCAUCCAUCAAGUAGAUUGGAUAUCACUUUUGUGGCUCGAUGAGAGAAUUUCACAUCGACCCAUUUGAAGUAUUUACACUUUGACCAUUCUCUCUAUCGGGCACAUCCAUAAAAUCUUCUCCCGGGAUUCAUUCGAGUCCACGAUGUUCUUUUUGGACUCGGUAACCCACAAAAACAAAAACGCUUACCUUCGCCUUCGCUUUAGUGAGAGGAAUUUGAAGCACUGCUAAAAAUCUUGCUCUCUAUUUUCAAGAUUCAAUGGUGAAAUUUUAGGCAAAUCGAAAUUAAGAUUCGGGAUUAGGGUUUGAGCACUUCAAUAGGGAUUUUGGUUGAUUUAAGGUUUUAGAUUUGGGGCUUUUUGGGAGAUGACGUUGUUUUGACCGAUUUAGGGCUUUUAUUUUGGACAACUAUGAAAACGACAUCGUUUUGGGUCAGUCAGAGCUAAGUCAGCUCUCCAACAAGCCACGUAGGCAAACAAAAUUAAUAAUAAAAAAAAAUUACCACGUCGGAUUUUCAACGGGGUUCGCCGGAAGUAGCACUCAAGUAUCUCAUUUUAAAAAAAUAAAUUAUACUUAAGUUUCAUUUUACUAACUUUUGGUACUUAAGUGUUCUCUUAUGCUAAGUUUUGGCACUUGGAUUAUUCUUUUUCCAGAAAAUAUUUAUCUAAAUCCCAACUUGCUUUGUCAUGCUCAUGCUUGUCUAUCCUACUCAUAUUUCUCAAUUUCCGAAGUUCAAAAUAUUGGGAUUUAACCCAAAAUUACUUGAAAAUUUAAGUAUAUAUCCAUUGCAUUUACUCACCUUUAUAUUCGAAUGCAAUUAAUUUGCAGAUUUGAUCUUGUCGUGAGAGCAUUGGCUAGAGUAGUGGGUGAAAGGAGGAUUUUGCAUGAUGCGUUUCAAAACCAGCCAAAGGAUCGACUUAACCAUCUCUACUCACAUGAAUUAAAUACUGCAACGGGUGCCCUCUCAUUCCCUUGGGAUUAUUUAUCUCCAUAAAGCCCUUCAAUUCUGUUUGGCUAUCUCGUUCACCCUCUUCAGCCAUUUAAUGCUUUCAGGUUCUGUAAAGCUAUCCUCUAAAUCUCCCAAUUGCUCCGCCCAAAGACAUCCUCUAACCGUAAACCUGCAUAGCAUAACUUAACACGUCUAAGUUUAGUUGCACUUGCGCAGGUGUUCGAUUAGUAGAUGCUAUUCAGAUAAGAGGCUAAUCUGAGGACCGAUGCAACUAACCUAGCCACUCAAAUGCCUCUUUAUCCCAACCCAAGUGUGAUGCAGCUAAUAAGCCCCAUGGUGAUCGAAGAAAUUGAAUCAACAAAACAAUAAUUAAUAUAGCAAUAAAUAAAUUUCAAGAAAUUUAAUUAUAAUCAUCCUAGCAGACGGACUGAUGAUUAAAGUAACAAUUAAUAGUGGAAGGACACAAAUAUUUUCUUAUGAAGUAGAGUUAUGAUGAUAGAAUAUUGGGAUAAGUGCAUUGAAUGUUCUAGAAUUUCUCACGAAAGUGCAAUUGAGUUCUAAAUUUUCAAAAAUUGCAAUCAAGUUCUAAAACCUGUCACAAAAGUAAUUGUGUUAUAAAAUUUUUACGAAGUGCAAUCACGUUCUAAAACUUGUUGGGAUUUUCUAUUUAUCAAGUUGGACGAAGUUAAUGGAAUAUUUGAUCACAUUGACAAGUUUUAUGACUUGAUUAUACUUUUUUUUUUUUAAGUUUUAGGAUUUAAAUCACUUUCUAAAUGCUCUAAGGAUAAGUAUUAUUAUCUCUUGAAGUCCUUCUGAGCUGAGAGAAUUAAAAACUUCAUUGAUUUGAUAAAGAGUAUUAUUAUCAAGAGAUAGCUUGUUGAGUUUUUUGUUGACUUCAUAACGUCCAGCAGUAUGGCCUUCUUUUCCACAUUGAUAGCAUGUUAUACUUCAAUUGAUUUUUUUUGUUUUGUUUUUUGUUUAGUUUGAGAAGGGUAGGAUGAAGUUUUUCAGGAAAAAAAUUUUAGUGUGAUAUUUUUUUUUUUAUAUUUAUGAUUUGGUUUGUUUGAUCUUCUAUAAGAUAAUUAUCCCACCAACAUUUUAAUUGUCCAAUAAAAUAGCCAUCGAUAUUCUAAAUGUUCUUCAUAUCAAACAACCAUGGUCUCCAAUUCGUAUAAAACACAACAAGAUGUAUUGUGAAAUAUUUUUGUGAUUAUUUAUAUUUCAAUCAUAUUGUAACGUGUCAUUGCCAUUAAAAUUUUUAUCAUUUGUAUCACUUUGUUUGUUUUACAUAUCCUUUUCAAAUCAACCAUAAUAAUAUUUCAUAUUGUAACAUUAGAUCCUCUAUCUUAGAGCCCGGGAGUUUAUAUGCAUACGGAGAAACCAUGGAAUCGAAUCUCAGUGGAGUACGUGGAUCCUACUAAUAAAUGAAGAUUACUGAAUGUCUCUGAGAAUCUCAGGAAGACGACACUCGGCAAUGACCAAAUUUAGCGACGGAAUCACCCGACAGAGGUACUCAAGCUAAGUUAGAUGAAGAACGACUGAAGCUGGAGCCACCACAAAUAGUCGUCAUCUGAGAGAAGAAGAAAAUAGAGAGAAUGAGUUAUCAGAGGUGAAGGAUCUAUAUGUCCUAUGAACUGAAAGAGAGAGCGCGUGAAGUCUGCGGCGAUAGGAGGUGGUCCGGUGUUGCUGGGCGACGAUGAUGUUGCAGCAGCUUAGGCGGUGACGCAAGGACGGUGAGCUUCGAUGAAGGUGAAGACGUAGUGAUGGAUAACCCACAUGCAUCUCUGAGACUGACGAAGGAAGUGAAUCAAUCAUUUUUAUAUCUCUCUAGUAUUUGAAUCACCAAGAAUUCUUUUCAAAAGUAUAAGUUUUUUAUGGUACCUUCAUUUCAUAGAAAACUCAAUGAUAAAAAGCAUUUUCGAAUAAUAUGAUUAAUUUUCCAUUAUUUGGUAAUAUAUAAUCAAAUCAAAAACGUUUUUUGAUAUUUGGAUCUCAUUAGAAAGUGAUUUUGAUAGUAUGACUUUAUCUUAGGCCAAAAAAAAAUCGAAUUUUUUUAAUUUUUUUUCUUUUUUAAAAGUUCGAAUUUUUAGUUUUUCAUUUUAUUUUUUUAAAAUUCGAAUUUGUAAUUGGUUCUUCAAUGAGUUGUAAAAAGAAAGGGAGAUUAAUUAGAAAAACGUUUUUUUUUACUAUACCAUUUUCAAUAUUAUUAUUAUUAUUAUUAUUAUUAUUAUUAUUAUUAUUAUUAUUAUUAUUAUUAUUAUUAUUAUUAUUAUUAUUAUUUUCUUCUUCCUUUUUCAAAUGCAGAUUUGGUUUAUUGACAAAAUUAUUUGCCAACGAUGUUCAGUUUCUUAUUUUUUUUACCCACGGUUCUCAACAUUUUCACGAUUAAACCCAAUUUGGAGCACGUCCAUUGAUUUUCCUCUUAUAUUUAAUAAUCGUGUUAUGAAAAGAGUAAAAUUAUCAGCAUUUGACAAAGCUUUUGCUAACAAAAAAAAAGACAAAGCUUUUGCUAAGCAAGUUCAUGACAUCAUCACAACAUUCUACUUCAACUUCAACAUACUCAGAAUGCUGCCUUAGUUCUUCCGAAUCAAAGUAGGUCCAUUGCUUCAUGUUUAAAUUUGUGUACCUCAGUUAAGACUAUGCGGAGUGGAAUUCUUGACCGAACACUUGUCUGUUGAAGUCCUCAUAGCCAUUGGAGCUUAACCAAGGCCUUUUCUAUCUUCCUUAAAUAGCCGUGAUACCAAUUGAUUUAAUUGCAAUAUCUAAUAGUUUUCGCGCUAUAUUGCAUAAUUGGUAUAACAGCUGUCAACAGCCAGGAGACUAACAAAUAAGUAUUUGGUCAAGAACUUUGAUCCACAACUCUUUUGCCUGACAGCACAGGAGCUUCUUGGAUUAUAGCCGCGCAAGACGCAAGUGGUGCACUUUAUUAAACACAUUGGAGGUUUUCUGUCGACAUCCAAACUGAGUUGUUUCCAUUAAUAUAUACCGUGAGUUUGGGUGUACUUUAGGACUUGAAAAAUACUUAAACAUGUAUGUGAUCAUAACUCUAUAAUUCUCCUAUUUAUUAAUAGAUUAUUUACAGUUAACUAUUCCCAUAGAGUAAAUACCGACAUUCAGAUUGUCCCAUGCAGAUCUCUUCAUUUAUUUACUAUUCCCCAUUUAUUUCUCUAGUAACUACGCAUUGAAUUAAUUACGAGGUUCGAUAAUUUUUUCAUUAGAUUGAAAAACUGACAUCAUCACCUGACCAAUUCCGACGCCUGAAAUCAUUCAGCAAUAGAGACAAGUCCUUAGCACAACAAAAACUAUUCAAGAGGUGGCUCAUUGUAAGAGUCGCCCAGAUUUUCAAAUCUUAUAGAAAUAUCGUCCUUCAUCCUCCAUCAAGAUACAGGUUUGGCUAACUGUUGUGCCUAUCCGUCUGUAAAUAGGAGAGUUUUCCGGGGGACGGUCCCGUCCUUCAUUUGGUGAGGGUACACACAGGUUAAUGAUGUACAUUCCCAUAUGGACAUAUGGUCUCCUAGGCUGGAUCUCAUUACAUGUUUUCACUACAAUCAAGCAAACUUCUCUAUCAAGAUGGUCUGUAACUAAAUAAGAUAUGAAGAGGAAGUUGCAUUUUCUUUCUCAUUCUUCACUGCAUACAUGCUAUCGCGAGGCAUGAGAAAAUUAAAGGUUUAGAGUGGUAAAAAAGAAGGAACAAUAAUCUGCAGCCAAGAAAGGAAUACUAGAUUUUCAUGACUAUUCUCUGCUAGAACUUCAGGACAUGUAUAAUGAGCUUCCUGUCAAGAGAUCUGUUUUUCUUCAUUCUAAGAACUAUUUUACUAAAAAGUUCCACAUGUAUUACAAGAACGUGGACUACCUGUAGAAUAUAACAACAUACAAUUUUCACUCAAACUGUAUCUGCGACAAUUAAGUGAGGAUUCAUUUCUUCUUGCCUCUUCCUUUCUUAUUUUGCUUAACUUUGGACUUGCAAUUGCCCUUGUUCUUGUUCCGGUUUUCCACACCGCUAGUCUGGGAAAAAGAAGAUGAUGAAGCCUGCUGAUCCUUCUUCACUUCACCGGUUUUUUCAGCUUCCCCAGCUUUGCCCUUCUCUUCCUCAUUUGCUAAGCCCACUUCUUGUCCCGGCAAUGACGACGCAUUUGCACCAUCCGAAUGCACAACUGGUACUACACUGUCGGAAGAUGAAGAGGAAUCCAUGGAAAAUUCAGUCAGAUCUUGCAACUUGCAAGAGCUCUCAGCACUUCCAUCUUUGGGGAAUAGAACUUUCAUAAUCUCUUCUUUGCAUUUGUGCGACUUCACAUCUAAAAUGAUGGCAUGUGGACAUUUUGAACAAUCUGAAGCAGAAUUGGUAAUUACAAGGGGAUCAUCAACUUUUUCGAAUGCUUCAGCGAGAACACCCACUGAAAUUUCCUGUAAGUUUGGCCUCCGGCAACGUGAAAGAAUAUGAUGAAAUUCUGGAGGUAUUUGCUCAGAAAUCCAACUCUUACCGAGCAAAUCGAAGAGAAAAUAUGGACUGAUGCCAAAAUUCAGGUGAAGCAAACAAACCAAAAGAACCAACUUCAAGACCAACAACGGGUAAUACUCCCUCACAUUUAGGUUCGAAUUUUUUAUCCAUUGUCUGGUAUCAUCCUUAUUGCGAAGAAGGUCCACAACGGUCCUUGUAACAAACUGAAUGAUGGGCUCCAAGCAAUUUCCCAGGUUGAAACUGAAGCUAGGCUUUGCUAAACCUUCAUGGCAGAUGAGCCAUUCAACUAGAGAAGAUUUCGUUGUAUAAAACUGCCCUUUGGAGCAAGCUAACAAAAUCACAAGUCGUUCCAAGAGAUACAAAAAGCAAAUUGGUGUGAUGCAGUCUCUUUCAGUCUUCCAAUUGGCAUUGUAAGCAUCUGCCAAAGCUCGAUAAAGGUUCCAAGCCAAAGAGAUUUCCACGGGUCCAUUGCUCGCCUGAGGAAGGUCUGAUGGUACAUCCCGACAAAUGCAUUCCAUGAAUGCCUCCCAUGACGUAUCUCCUUUAAAUGAUUUUGCUAUUUUUCCGUACAAACCAUCGUCAAGCAUUCCAGACCCAAGAACCAAAGUCGCAAGCUCACCCAUCUUCCCAUGUGAAAAAUGCUUCUUCGAAAUUAUCAUGUUCAUUGUUUCUCUCAGUAAAUUACGAGAAGCCUCACUUCCUCUCAGAGAUACCAUAUUCUCUGAUGACGAUAUUCUCCAGUCAAGUGGAAAUAUGUGACCAAAAUACCUCUCACUGGAUGUUUCGAUGAAACCAUCCAGUGCCUUACCAUACUGGAACGAGUGAUUCCGACAAUUGAGUUCUCUAAGGAACUUGGCAACCUCAUGUGAGAUAGCAAGACAUCUGCUUUGCCAGAAAUUUGACCGAGAACUCUUCACCAAAAAUUGAUAAAGUGCAUCCAAUUGGUGCAGGAGCUCCAUACCAACAGAAGUAAGCUCAGAAUACCAGUACUUUUGAGCUGCAAAGACCAAUUGUCUAAGACCCAAAGCAACCAAUUGUCCAUUUUCUUUGAAGAAGAUCUUUAUCAACGUAUCUGACCCNNNNNNNNNNNNNNNNNNNNNNNNNNNNNNNNNNNNNNNNNNNNNNNNNNNNNNNNNNNNNNNNNNNNNNNNNNNNNNNNNNNNNNNNNNNNNNNNNNNNUUAGAAGGUGAUAAGUUCUUGCAUGUGUUCGGUGCUCAGACACCAAGUAAUUCAACAGAACUCCAACUUGACGUAUUUUCCUUCUCACCAGCAUCUCCACGCAUCCUGCACUCUCUAUAAUUCUGACAAUUUUCUCUCUCCAAAGAUUCCAAAAGCAGACCAAUGAGUCAACGGAAAUCUGAUUCCCCAAGAUCAGUUGUUCAGAAUAGUUCACUGGGUCGACAAGCCAAUCAUAUUCCCAGCAAAAAUUUGAGAUAUUUUGAUGAAGAUGGAAGUCCAGAAUAUUUCGAGCGCACAGUAUUUCACCUCUGACACUUCCAUUUCUACUGGAAGCACUCAAAUGUUCUUUCAUUUGAGCCAAACUGUUCUGUUUAUUUAGCAAAAUGCUUGAUUCUACAGAAACAUAUUCAUAGAAGGUAAUAGGCUCAGGCUUUGCAAGAAGUUUGGCUUUUGCUACCAGCUCCUCCUCCUGUGCAAACUGCUUCAAGGGCCACCCUUUGCUUCCAGGAGCCCAAAGGGAAUAGAAUAAUACGUACCACAGGAUGUUCAUCGACGCUUCCCUGUUUUUUCCGCUCUUCCCAAGUAGAUCAACCUCACGAAGGAUGUCACCUUUCAUCCUCACAAUCUUGGCUGCCUCCAAAAAGUUACCAAAGUCUUCCUCCAGACUUAUAAGUUCAUCGAUGCAUCCAAACCUCAUAAGCAAGUUUCUCAUUGAAUCGAUGCAAUGAAAAGCCUUCACAGACUUCAUCAUGGUCCUGUAGUCUCUGAGGUUGUAGAAAUGAAGGGCACAACUCUCUAAAAAGUCCUGUUCCAAUAUCUCUAUUUCUUUACUUUUCUUCUCUGUUCCCUGCCUUUUCCAAUCCUCAAUGUAUCGCAGACCCAUUUUAAAGAGUUUUUCUUCAGCACAAAUGGACAAGCACUUUGAGAAAAUAUUUGCCCUUGCAUAUGCCUCCGCUGCAAGACUGUAGCACUGAGCAAGAGAGAAACACUCUCCAGCUUUCUCCAAAGCAGAUUCUCCACAUUUAUCCAUGUAUAUUCUACCUGUUGAAGCAUAAACAUAUUUGAUGUCAGUCUCAUUUAUAGAGUGCGGAUGUUCAGAAGAUAAAACAUAGCAAAGGGACAUUUGGAAGCUGCCAGAAAUGCUCUUGUACAGCUCUGCUCUUGUACGGAUCAACUAUAUUCUCCAAUGUCAAGAGAUGAAACAGGAUCAACGUCCGUAGGUGGCUACAAUACCAAGAAGUUUUUGACAAACCAUAGUCAACAUGGAGUAUUGCAACUGGCAGCCACAGCUUUUUUCUAAACUCAUAGGUCUGGUCAGUGUUAAGAACUUAGCAGCUCAAAUUUUUCAAAACUGCUGAGAGAGCAGAGACAGGUUAUCAUAUAGAAAAAUAAUCAACUUCCAAGCCAGGACAUUAAUCAUGAAGUCAACAUUAGUAGCACUUGCUCAAAAUUCACCAAAAGCAUUUCAAAGUUAACAAGUGAGAUCGAACUGAGAUUGAACUACUUUUGUUUUAAUAUCGAAAGAGGAAAAUCAAUUAAACUGGUAAACAAGAGCGUACCGCGCAUGCAAAAUACUACAUACAGAAGAAUGCUAAGUCAAAUUUCCUCUCUCUCUCUCUCUCUCUCUCUCUCUUAGGCAGCUUUGACAUAGCUACAACAAGAAGAAAAGUAAAGAUGCAGCAUAUCUCCACCUUAUCAUUUUGAAAGAAAUGAAAAGAAAAAUGAUACCUGCUAUCUCAUAUUCCUUCAACAUGUAGAAACACUCCGCUGCAGAGUCGGCCAUUCCAAUUGUUUCAUAGAUCUCAGCAGCCUGCCUUCGAAGGUCAGAAGCCUCUUGUGGAUUUGAAACGUGCUUGAGAUCUGCAUCUGCUUUGAAAGCGGAGGCCUUAGCUAAUCUCUCCCCGUAUGUGUACCUUGCUCGUUCAAAGCACGUUAUUGCCAUUGGGUAUUUACCCUCACGUAAGAGCUUGCAAAGUUUAUUAAAAAGAAAAAAAAGAGAGAGAUCAAUAGCUUCUCCAGAGAAGGUGAAAAGAAGAAAAAAAGAAAACAUAGUCCUCCCUUAUAGGAAAAAUCAGAGGUGUAGACUUACACCAAAACAAUGCACUGUCAUUGCCUUAUAACCUCAAAUGAGGAAAAAGAUUAUAGGAAUAUUCCUAUCAUAUUGUUUAUCCACUGUGUGUCUAAAUGAAGCAUUCAGCCAAACUACUAAAAAACCAAUGAAGCUGGCAAAUCGAUCACCAUAUUUGUACCAUAGAACGUCCACAUUCUACACACAUUUUUUUUUUCAGGAUCAGUCAUACUUUUGCAGUCACUAUUGUCAUUCCAAAAUCUCUAGCAUUCACAGAUCAUGUUGACUCCAAAUGAGGCGAAAAUAACAAUUCCGUGAAGAGGAAACAACUAAUAAAGAAAAAACAGAAAAACAGCAAACCUUAAAACCUUGUGACUUCCACUCCUCUGGCGUGCUCCUGACCUGCAUUGCUUCUGCAAAGGCAUGAUCUACCAACCUAACUUGAAUGAGGCACUUCUUCUUCCAGUAGUCGAGAAUUGGUUUGGAGAACUCUAGGGCAUUCUCACAAAUCCACAAUCUUUGUCUUGUCUGAGUAAUUGCGACGUACAAUUGUUUCAAUUCAGAGCAUAAUAUAUUGUGCUUCGCGUCAUCGAAACUUGGGGAAGACCAUUGAGAGCUGUUAUCGAGCAAAGCUUGCUCCUUCAUGUAUCCAUAAAUGACCCUCCAUUGACUUUUCAGAGGUGAUGUGCCAAAGAAGUUGUACAAUAAAACGUCCUAUACAAUGUCACGGCAAAAAAAGUUUCAGGUAAAAACAUUAAAUUUUGUAACCAAAAUAACAGAUAUCAAGUUUCAUGAAUACAGGAACAAUUCUAAAAAAUUUAGGAAAAAAAAUAUCUGGACUCAUUUUGACACACCAGCCUAUCAAGAACAGCCGUAAAGUCACAAGAUUGUUGAUAUUGUCUAUUAACCUAGAGGAUGAUGUUGACAUGAGGCCAAACAAAUUCUACAUUAUGAGUAUCUAGAAGCCAUUGUCUGCAUACAAAAAAGGGCAUAGUAGAAUGAAAAUACCAAUCCAAGUUUUUUUCCGAGUAACAGCUUCCAGCAAAUUGGUCAUGACCCAUUAAAAAAAAAGUUCAUGAAAUCUCUAUGCUGCUACCAUUAAAAUCCCAUGGCAAACAAUCCAACCUGACACACACCUACCUGAAAUUCCAACCCCUUGCACUCCACUAUCGUCAGAACUAGAGCUUGCCCUCUCACAAGGUUCGAAACUUCAUUUCUAGAGUGAUCAUCUCGAACCAAAAUAACCUGCUCUGCUCCAAAGCCAACGAAAUUACCACUAAAAUCACGUUUGCCAAAAAUUGAUAGUAUGGCACUUUCGUCAUUCUCCGAUUCAAGUAAAAUUGGGGCUUCCCCACAUAUAAAGCUAGUUUCAGGGCCCAAAGCAUCAAUGGAUAAAGGGAAAAAAUGGUAAAGGAGAUCAACAACACUCUGCGCCAGUUUGAGUAUACCAGCAUGAGUGCGGAAGUUUUGGCUCAAAUGGAAAAUUUUGGAAAGACAUCCCUUUUCCAUUCUUUUAUCAGGUCCAUCCAUUGAAUCUAUCAAGAACUCCUUGUAGAAAAGGGACCUUAUGUCUUCAAACCUGAAGUCUAUUCCCCUUGCAAUAGUUUGUGCAGUGUCACCAGAAAACACAAAGCCCCCAUCAACGUUUCUACAGAUAUACUUGAACAGUGAAAUUUGUCUCAAGGUGAGAUCCUGCACUUCAUCAAUAUAUACAAAAUCCACUAUGUUGACAGCAAACUGCCCACAAAAAAGACGGCGAUGAAGAUCAUUGACAAUAUCGGCCAAAUCAAAUUCAUCAUUUUCCAUUUUCAUCUUUUCAUAAUCCUCAAAAGCAUCAUAAAUUUCUUCUCUUCUCUGAAUACUCAGAGUGGAUACACGACCCUCUGAAAGUGAAACAUAAGCUGGUCUGUCAAGUUUGCCUUCACAACCAUCUGCUGGUUGAAGACCACCCUUUAUGUGGGACAUUAUUUCAGUGAAGACUCUGGAAGGAUCAAGCCUCCUCCUUAUCUUGUCAUUGAAGUGAGGCCAAUAAACAGCACAAAACUUUUCGUAAGUAACCUCCUUAGCUCUUAGAAGACUUUGUAAGGCCACUGGUCUAGAAUUGAAGGAUUGGCCACGACAAAGAUCCCUUAGAUCGGGGAACCUUUCAAAGAAUGAAACCCCCACAGUUCCGUCUAGCAUCAUCAGAAGCUUACGAAAAGUUAUAACAAGGGGAUAAGAGUUGGGAGAUAUGUCUAAAAAUGAAUCCGGGAUAUCCUUGAAUAAUGCUGCAUCAUCAACAAUCUCAUCAACUGAAGAGCUUUUAACUCUUUGUUUUGCACCAAUGCUGGAGCUGCAGGAUUAAUGAAGCCAGCAAUUAGAAAUGGAAAUAUAUAGUUUUAACAAACUUACGGGAAUACCUCCACUACACAUGCAAUCUCAUAAUUGCUACUUUUAGGUAACUAACAGCAAAAAGGAAAUUAGAAUACGCUGAUGCACCGAGGUUGCAAUGAUAUACUAUGAGACACGGAUAGCGUUUACAUCCGCUGGCAAUUAAAAUUUUCCCCCGCAGCAAGAUUUGUAGAACACAUGGUCCUUUCUCGAUUCUGGUUAUAAUUGCACAAGUUUUAAAAAGGGCGAUUUUCUCUUUAUAUGUACAAUGCUACAAUCACAAAAUUUAAUGUGAAAAUUUCCAAUAAAAUGGUAUUGCAAACUAAAUAAGUGGCACGAAGACCAAAAUAAGGAAUAUUGCUGCACAAACUAAUGUUUAGUUUCAGCAAGCAGAAGAUGUCAAUCUCUAACAUGCAAUGAUUAAAUCUAUUGUCUAGCAGCUAUAUCCGAGUGGUAGCACCCGAGCAUGGCAAAGUGCUGAUUUGACCCAUGCGCUCUUGCCACAUGUUAUAUUUCCUAUCGAACUGUAUAAAAUGAAGUAUCUUGGUUGUGCUUCUCCGCUAGGAGGAAAAUAGUAGCAUGCCAAAGGGGUUAUCUUCUUCUCCCAACUAAUUCAUAAAUAAAAAUAAAAAUAAAAAUAAAAUAAAAAAUAAAAAAUAAAUUGACAAUCCAUUAACCCUUGCAUAUGUUUAAUCAUUGUAAAAAUUGCAGAAUAUUUAUUCUAUUGUUCAAACAUCUUCCCAUGACAUUUUAUGUACCUUCUAAGUUGAGAUACGUGUUGUUUGACCGCAAAACAUAAUUUUGCACUGAUAGUCACAAAAAGCUGGCGCAAUACACAAUCCUCUGCUCCUUCACCGAUUUCCUCAACAUUGAUUUCCAGGGAGGCAUCUUUGCUGUGGCUAAUACCACUUUGGAUUUCCUGAAAUCCCUUGGUUCCUUCAUCGUGCAGUUUCUCAUUUCUAAACAACUUCAUUGUCAGGACUGUAGUUUUACCGGUUCCAGAUCGCCCAAGUAUAAAAGUGCUUCUGGGGAAAAGAAUUAUCUCUUGUUCUUGCUCUGUUACUUUAAACGGAAGACUUGCUUCAUUACCGUCACUGUCAUCGAGCAAAUUUCUGACAAUAUCUGAUGAUAAGGGGUAGAAUUUCAUCAGAAGCAAACUCUCGCUCACUUUCACAUUUUCUACAUACAACCUACGAUCUGAAGCAUCAGCAUCAGAACUACUCCCAAAUUGAUCUUCACUAGGACUUCGACAGCGGACAAAAUCGACAGUACAUGCCCAGGUCUUCGGAACUUGCUGAUCCCUAUAACCGGAAGAGGCAUGUGAAAUGAAAGAAAAUAGAGGGAUAAGAUCAAUUCAAGAUAUUUGAGUCAUCUAUCUGGAAAAGAAUGCUUUCUAAUUUAGUAAGUGAUGUGCUACCUAUCUUCAGUAAGAAGAAAUGAUCAGACUUACCCCUCAAAGCAUUUCUCAUUGCAACGACUAAUAAAAUCAUCACUAUAUGUCUCGAAAAUGCUGUCCAAACGUUUGACCAAUUUUGCCACAUCCUCUAAAGGCAUUACAUCCCAUAUCUUCAGGAUUUGGAUGUAUCUCAGUUCCUUUACAACAUCAAUCGUGCAUAAGACAUAGAGACCUUCAGCCUUAAAUUGUCUCACGAUAUGAGAUGAGUGUUCACAAAUUAUAUCCACAUUCCUCUUCUUUGGUCUCCAGCCACUGGAUAGUCUUGACAGAAGCAUAAUGAUUGACAUCUUUAUCCUGAGUGAUGCCAGCUUUCUGAAAGACUUCAGGAAGUUGUCACUGAAAAGAACCUGAUAAGACCAAAGCAUGACAAUAAGAUAUGUUGUCACAAGUUCUAUAAAACUCAAUGCUUAUUUUGAAAAUAAAUCCGUAGAAUACUGUUGAGCAAAGAUUUUUACCUUCCACCUUGCAUUUCUGAAAAGUACACUGCUUCUGUCAAGCAGAUCAUCAAGCUGAUUAUUCUCUUUCUUCACAUCUAAGAUGGCUUUAGCCAAAUCCUUGUCAUCAUCAACAUUGAAAAAACAUCCACGACUCUUUGCAUUGUCAACCACAGCUUCCCACACAGACUUGCUUUUUGUUAGUGUUUUCCCAUUUCCCAGAAUCCACAGACAAUACCUAUAGAUAGGAAAUUAACUCUGGGAUUUACUUGCUAUAUCACUCUAAAAAUGUAAUUUGACACAGUUAAGAGGAUAGAGUACCUGGCCCUGGUAAGAGCAACAUUGGUUCUCUUAGGACUGGACAAGAACCCAAUAUUCCCACGCGAGUUUGAUCUUACGGUGGAUAGAAUAACAAUGUCUUCUUCACCCCCUUGGAAUCCAUCCACUGACUUCACCUUGACCAUAAAGCCCUUGAUAUUUUCAUACUUUUUCCCGAGUUUAGCUAGAACUGCAGCAACCUGAGCUUUGUAAGGAGAUAUGACACCUACUGUCAGAUCUUCUUCUGACCCAUUCCAAGCUGCAAAGAAAAGGAAAUAAAACCAUCACUACAGUGAAAUUAUUUUUGCAGGUUGCAAAACUUCAAAAGAAAUAUCUUAGGAAAAGAACUAUUAAUGGCCAUCAUAAUCUGCACCUAUAUGAUUAAGUAAUACAUGUAAAAUCCAUGUGCUCGAAGCAAUAUGCAUAAAAUUCUCUUGACAUACCUCUGUACAGAUUCCUCACUAUCCUUGAGAUAACUUCCACCUCAACAGGGUUUCUACGGCUACAGCCAUCAUCACCGAUUUGUUCUUCUCCAUCAGGAAUAUUUAUGAACGAGUAAGGGCCAAACAUUGGCCAUGGCAAAUGACUUUUUCUGUAACUUUUGCUCUUCACAUUUGUCCCGUCCAAAAUUUGGUUUUGAUAAAAUUUAAAAUUCGGAAACAGACUUAUUGAUGGAUGCAUCCGGUAUUGUGUAUUGAAAAGUUGCCUUGAAUAACCAAGUGAACUGAAUCGUUCAAACAGACUCCUUCCAAAACGAGCCCGUCUAGAAACCUGUAAAAAUAAAACAUGAUAUAGAAUUCAAUGGGCAUUAGGUAUAGCACAUUUAGCCCAUCUAAGGUCAAAUGAAGAGAACAAUAUUACAAAUCUUUCAAAACCAAAUACAAAGUUCCUUUUCAGACAUUUAAACAUUACCUUGCUUUCGACCAUAGCCGGCAACUGACACUCAUCUCCAACUAAAAUCAGACGCUUGACACCAGGGAGUUGCAGAGGAAUUACUGACUCGCAUUCUUUCAACUGGGCUGCCUCAUCGAUUACCAGUAAAUUGAGAGGCUCCAUGUCCACAGAGUACAGCUUAUAUGAACUGGAAGCAGUGCAAAAAAUCAGGGAUGCAUGUUGAUAACAGAAGUUGGCUAUCGUGUCCUCACUCAUAAAGUUUGGAAGUUUUAGAUCCUUCGGAGAAUCACGAACAGUUAGUAACAUGGAAAGGCAUUCCUGUCUCUUCAUAUAUAUAUUAUAUAGUGGACCCAUGGACGUCUCAAACGAAAACAGGCUAAGAUCAUCACGUGAAAGAGUUAUCUCCAUCAUCUCUGAAUCCAACUUCUCUCCACAUAAUAAAGAUUCAAAAGAAUCAAGUAAGUUAAGGAGGGAUGUAAUAUUCUGGAAUUUAGUUCUGGAUAUAUGAUUACAGAAAGUAUAGAGGCAUCUCCGCAGGGGCUGGACAGUUUCCUUGAAUCGGUCCUUGAAAAACUCAAGAAAUGAUUUAAGCUCACAGUUAACAUCUUCUUCACUGCUUCCGCAUUCACUCCCAUCAUCAUCACUUCCUGGUUUCCUUCUUUUCGUGUGUUCGUUUUCCAAAAAUAUGUGGUAUUGACGGAGACAGUUGGCAAGAGUAUCUAUCAUGGAAGUUAGACACUGAUGCCAACCAGUGAAUUCAGAAAUGCGCUCUACACGAUGUUCCAAGUAUAUUACUUCAAUGUCGGAAUCAACUUUCAGCCGCUCCUUGUUCCCAAAAAUAAGCAUGUCUCCAAAGUAACAGACCAAACUUUCCGUUUCAGUGCUUAUACCACUAUCUGAUUCCUUUAGCAGCUUUAGAACACGAGAUGCCACUUCCUUGAUGGCAACAUUUGUAGGAGCACAAACAAUGGUUCUAUGUUUCCUUUUCAAGAGAUUAAAUAGCAGUGCAGCGACGGUUUUAGUUUUCCCAGUUCCAGGAGGACCCCAUAUCAGUUCGACAGAUGGCUUGUUCUCACAUUGGAGUUUACUGAGACAGGCCCCCACUGCUUUUUUCUGGGAUUCAUUUAGAUCAUGGCUCAAUCUCUCGUCAAGGCUCUCACUCGCAGAACCAUUACCCUUUGUAAUACAAAGAUUAGAAACUUUGUCAGCCUGCAACCGAAACACAAGAUUAGAAACUUUGUCAGCCUGCAACCGAAACACAUUUCUUGUGAUAAUCCAGACCAUGUAAAUAUGGUAGAAGGUCCUGAAACUUAAUUGGUGUUAAUAUGAUAUAAAGAGCAUUGCACAGCACAAACUUAAAUCCCAUGAAAAGUAUAGUAUAGAAAAUUUUAAGGUCUAGUACUAACAAGUAAGUCGCCACCAAGGAAUUAAUUUGCCCUGUUCAAGACAUAAUUCAUUCAUCUCCAUAUCAUGAAACGGACCAACUAAAAGAAACAACCAUCCUAAUCUAUUGAUGCAACAGCAUGACUUAAAGCAACAUUUAUCUUCUUUUCCGAAGAAACUUAAAAAUCGAUAGGAGUAAAAUGAAGCUUUGAAGCUUAGAUGAUAAUAAUAGCAAUUUCAAGUCUAAAUGGACCGAAGGUACAAAAAGGAAAGUCAUACCACCACAUCUGUGCAGAGAACUUCCUUCAAAAUAUCCAAGUUCCGAGACAUAUGCAACGCAUUCCAUAUCCUUCUGUUAGUGACUAUAUGUAUCAGGAAAAUUGCAUACAUUGGCUUCCAGGAAUUAUUUACUUCAAGGUCCAAUAAUGUCUCCACUUCAAAGUUUGUGGAUGACGUUGCCUCAUCCUCUUCAUCGUCUUUUCCAAUCAUCCUAACUAAUGUGAACGCCCAUCUUCUUCCGAACCUCUCCAAAUCAGCAACAGCUGUUGGCUUAGCAUCAGUUAGAAUCAAGAUAUCUCCAGGCAAAGUUUUGUAUGUUUCCUUCCCAUGACUAUUGGAUUCAUUGCUCCACCGACCGGCCUUAACAGCAUAUGAGUUCCUACUUCCCGUGCAUUCCACAAAUUCAAUAACUUCAGUGAAAGGCAGCAAAUAAAUAUUUUUCAAACGCGAGCACAGACUGGCCCGUGUUUCUUCCAGUAAAGGGUAGACAUACGAUCCAAGAUAAUGCCGGACCGACUGAAAUGUAUCCGGUAUAGUCUCCACCUAAAAAAACAGCUCGGCCAAUUGUCAAAUAUGACCAACGAACCUUGACAUUUCAAAAAAUACUUUGACCAAAUUCCGUAAAACAUAACAUAUACUCCUAAAAUACCGAACGAGCUUGUGAACAUAGUAGAAGCAUAAAGGGUUCUAUUCUACUAAGUUGAAUGCAAGGUUCUUAUAAGGCUAGGCUUAUUAAAAGCACAAUCAAACAAAAAAAAGGAACGAACUAGCAUCAUUGGAAAAUUCUCAGGUAAACACCACAUUGUCGUUGAACUUAAACGAGAAUAAAACCAAAAGGGCAUGAUAAAAGGAAAAAAAAAAGCAAAGAUGAGGGAAGAAUAGAAAGAAACCUGGUCAUGGUAGAGGUUUUCGUUGAGAAUGUCAUGAAGAGACCAAGAGGAGACAAUAUCAAUCAGGUCAUUAGUACCAUGUCUCCUCCUCCUGCUCAAACCACCCUCAGCUAUCUCCACACCCACCACUCUGUUUGGGCUUCCUCCCAAACCCAUCUGAACCCACGUACCAAAAUCUUCUACUUGUUUCUUUCUCCCCUUUUCUUGCUGAUCAAAGCACCAGGGAAAAAUCGCUCUGAGGUUUCAAGAAACUUUCGAGGCAAAAAUUGGGCAAAGCUUGUACGGACAUCAUCAGCCCUUUUUGAGCUCCGAAGUGAGCAUUCUUAGCGACGAAGAAGAAUGACACGGGGAGGCAAAGGGGUCGUCCAUGGACUCUUAAAAGAAGCAACUCGAGGUCUUUUCGUCAACCCACCAUUCGAGGUCUACGAAAGGCGAAAAGAUGGGGGUACCUCGUCUUCCGAACACGGUCUGAUAGCUUUCUUUACUGCCCAAAUGCUUGUAAUGAUUCCCGCUUUUCUUUGCUUAUCCAUGUUUCGAUUUCUUGCAGCCUAAGCUUCGUCAACUGUUUUCUGUCCGAAAUGUAUCAUUGCAUGAGUGAGGUUAUUUUUUGAAGAUAUUAAAAUUAUUUGUUGAUACUGAAAUAAUAAGUAGCUGAAAAAAAAAGGAUAAAUCUUAACUAGAAAAAUAAUUACACGAAUAGUCCCUGCACUUUAAUAUAAUGUGCAAUUUGAUAUUCGAAAUUUUGAUUUGUUCAAUAUGGCUCUUGAACUUUAAUCCAAUAUGCAAUGUGGUCUCCGAACUUUUCAAUUGUUUAAUGUAAUCUCUGGACUUUUGAUACAUACUCAAUACGGUCUCUGAACUAUAUGAAAUAUUGAAUGUAGUUUUUUAAUUGAUUCAAGAGUAGGGAUGACAUUGAACAUUUUGAUACAAGUUCAAGGACUGUAUUGAAUAUGUAUCAAAAGUUUAUGAACUAUAUUAAAAAAAAUUUAAAGUUCAUGAACCAUAUUGCACAUUGGGCUAAAAUUCAGAGACCACAUCAAACAAAUUAAAAGUUUAUGGACUUAAUUACACAUUAGGCAAAAGUUUGGAGACUAUUUGUGUCAUUUUCUAUAACUAGAAGUAGACAAUGAAUGUGAACAUUCUACUUCAAUCGCUUGACUUUUAUUUUUGAGCAUCUAUAUUGAUAUAAUAUAGAAUUAAUAUCAUGAAAAAUUUUUAAUCAUCAAAAACUCUAAAUUGGUACACCUGUCCCAAAUUAAUUUUUAAUAACUAUAAAAAAACCUCAAGAUUGUUGUAAAAUAUCGCGUGGCGAAUAUAUAAUAGAGAAGAGAUUAAAGAAGAGAAAGCAAGUGAACACUAGAGAUAGUAGCAAGAUGAAAGAGCUUUAUUUAUAGUAUCUCACUGUCGUGUUUCUGUGUGAUAGUGUAUUGUACAUCAAAACUAAACUCCUAUUUAUAGGAGAACAAGAAUGUACUUAUCAUUAAUAUCAAUGUAUCGAAUGAUACAUGUACAGGAUAAGGGAGACGAAUGUUCAUUGUAUAGGGAGAUGUACUUAGAACAUUUGAUACAAAUGUACCAUAAUAAGUACAUUGGAUAAGAUGAAUAUAAUGAAUAUUCAUUUAUGUAUUCUAUCCAUUCAUGUAUUUCAUAACACUCCCCCUUGAAUAUUCAUCAUAUUCAUUACGAAUGUGCAUUGAAUGAUACUGCCUCAUUAAAAACCUUAAGCCGGAAAAACCCAGUGGGAUAAAAACCGGACAAAAGGGAAAAAGAGUGCAGAGCACAAAUGUUAUGAUCUCUCCCUUUUAUGGAUGCAUUGAUUGCCUCGUUAAAAACUUUAAGCCGGAAAAACCCUAUGGGAAAAAACCGGACUUAAAGAAAAAAAAAAAAAAAAAAGAGUGCAAUGUAUAUAUAGCCACUCCUGGGACUAAUCAUUAUUGCAUCUUGUGAACUAGCCGCAUAUCAAUGAUGCAAUGCAUAGUUCAUAAUAUCUCCCCCUCAAUAGAGCCAUAUAGCCACUUCUGAGGCUAAUUAAUCUUACAUCUUAUGAACUCGCCUCAUACCAAUACCAUAUACUAAUUUCUCAAAACUUGAUGUUGGCAAUGAUUUGGUAAAAAGAUCUGCAAGAUUAUUUAUGGAUCGAAUCUGUUUAACAUCAAUUUGUCGACUUUCUUGGAGUUCAUGAGUAUAGAAAAAUUUCGGCGAGAUAUGCUUGGUCCUAUCACCUUUGAUAUAUCCUCCCCUGACUUGUGCAACACAAGCAGCAUUAUCUUCAUAAAUUAUAGUGGGAGAAUUGGUAACCGGUAUUAAGCAACAAGAAUUAUGAAUAUGUGUUAUAACAGAUCUUAACCAAACACACUCUCUUCCAGCUUCAUAUAAAGCAAUAAUCUCAGAGUGGUUAGAAGAUGUAGCUACUAGCAAUUGCUUCGUAGAACGCCAAGAAAUAGCGGUGCCGUUAUAACAAAAUAAAUACCCGGUUUGAGAGCGAGCCUUAUGUGGAUCGGAUCUAUAUCCAGUAUCAGCAUAUCCAACUAAAACAGAGUUAGUGGAAUCCUUGGAAUAAUAUAAUCCCAAAUCUAUGGUUCCUCGGAGAUAACGGAAAAUAUGUUUAACUCCAUUCCAAUGUCUCCGAGUUGGCUCAGAACUAAAACGUGCCAAUAAAUUUACCGCAAAAGCGAUAUAUGGUCUCGUACAUUGUGCCAAGUACAUCAAAGCCCCAAUUGCAUUGAGAUAUGGUACUUCAGGACCAAGUAUCUCUUCAUCAGAUUCUCUAGGACGAAAUGGGUCCUUUUGGGGAUCCAGAGACCUUACAACCAUAGGGGUGCUCAAUGGGUGAGCUUUGUCCAUGUUGAAACGUUUAAGCAAUCUUUCAACAUAUGCUGAUUGAUGGACGAUUAUUCCAUUUGCUUUAUGCUCAAGCUCUAGACCAAGACAAAGUUUGGUUUGACCCAAAUCUUUAACUUCAAACUCCCUUUUCAAAUAUUCAGCAGUUUCAGCUAACUCUUCUGGAGUUCCAAUUAAAUUUAUAUCGUCGACAUAAACUGCUAUAAUAGCAAAUCCGGUUUCUGAUUUCUUAAUAAACACACAUGGGCAGAUAGGAUCAUUUUUGUACCUUUCCUUAAUUAGGUACUCACUUAGGCGUUGAUACCACAUGCGACCGGAUUGCUUUAACCCGUACAAGGAUCUUUGCAAUUUUAUUGAGAAUAAAUUGCGGGGAGUGCAUGCUUCAGGCAUUUUGAAUCCCUCAGGAAUUUUCAUAUAAAUAUCAGAGUCUAAUGAGCCAUAUAGAUAUGCCGUCACAACGUCCAUAAGACGCAUUUCCAAUCUUUCAAAGAUUGCUAGGCUAAUGAGAAAACGAAAUGUAAUCAUAUCCAUCACAGGUGAAUAUGUCUCAUUAUAAUCAAUCCCAGGUCUUUGGGAAAAUCCUUGGGCAACGAGUCGGGCUUUAUACCUGACAACCUCGUUUUUCUCAUUUCAUUUUCGGAUAAAUACCCAUUUAUAUCCAACGGGCUUUACAUUAUCGAGGAUACGAGUUACAGGUCCAAAAACCUCUCGUUUAGUUAGGGAAGCUAAUUCAGUUUUAAUUGCUUCCUCCCACUUAUGUCAAUCUUGCCUUUGAUGACAUUCAAUAAUAGAUUGUGGUUCACAAUCAUCAUCCAUAAUUUGAUGAGCAACUGAGAAUGCAAAAGCAUCAUCAAUGAUGAUUUCAUUUCGAUCCCAAAUUUCAUUACAAUAUAUAAUGGAAUUCUCAAUAUUCCCGGGGCUAGUGCUCCUUUCAUGGGUUUGCGCCUCUUCAGGGGCAAUAAGCUCUUUGGGAGCAAGCAUAACGCCAGGCUCUUCUGGAGCGGAUUCUUGAUUCUUUCCCCUUCGUUUUCGAGGAGCAGUAUCUUUUGAUCCUAUCGGUCUGCCACGCUUCAAGUGCGGGGGAUUUUGAUCCAUUUUAACCUGUUCUUCGAGAACAACUAUCCUAGCUGGAGCAUUUGCAGCUGGAAUAUAAGACUUCGUUACCUUAGUAGCAUCAUUAAAUGCGUCAGGAAGUCUAUUGGCCAUAGCCUGUAAAUGGAUUAUGCGCUGCACCUCGUUUUCACAUUCAGGAGUCCUUGGGUCUAAUUGAGAUAAAUUUUUCUUAUUCCAGGAGAAAACCUUAACUGGUUUUUGUUUUGCAGUCAUGGAAGUUGUAGGUAUCCCAAUUGAUGGAAACCUAGUCUCAUCAAAAUGACAAUCUGCAAACCUGGCAGUAAAAAGAUCACCAGUAGUUGGUUCCAAGAACCUAAUGAUAGAUGGUGAACUAAACCCAACAUAAAUGCCCAAACGGCGUUGGGGACCCAUUUUCGUCCUUUUUGGCGGUGCUACAGGCACCUGUACUACACAACCAAAUGUGCGUAGAUGUGAAAUAUUUGGUUCAUAACCAAGAACCAUUUGAAGGGGAGAUUGUAAAAUACUAGCAGUGGGGCGUAAUAUCAAAACUCUUUGAUGUAAAUUCACCAGCAUUACCCAUCCUUAUGCUCUUAAUUGGAUAAUCAGGGAAUUGUGCCCGGAGCUUUAUAAUCUGCCCAAGUAAACGUGCAAAUGCGACAUUGCGCGUAGAUAAUAGGCAAACAUGGGACCAUCUACAGGAUGCGUCCACUAAUACCAUAAAAUAUCGAAAUGGUCCACUUGGUGGUUGUAUUGGUCCACAAAUAUCACCAUGAAUUCUUUACAAGAAUAAAGGAGAUUCAAAAUUAACCUUUGUUAUAGAAGGUUUAAUAAUGAGCUUUCCUUGUGAGCAAGCCUCACAAUUAUAAUCUUUGGACAACAAUACAUUUAUAUCCUUUAAAGGGUGCCAUUUUGUAUUUUGAAUUAUCCUACGCAUCAUUGAAGCGCCAGGAUGACCAAGGCGAUCAUGCCACAGUCCAAACUGAUCAGGGCUUACCAAUUUCCAGGAUGUGGUAGCAUAGGUUUCAACAGCUUUAAUCAUGACACAAUACAAACCCAUAGAAGAAGCUUCUAGCUUCUCAUGGAUGGUCUUUAGGCCCAUCUUAUAAGAGGAAAUGCCAAUAUAUUCCUUAUCUUGCUCAUAAAUAGUCUCAAUAUGGUACCCAUUACGGCGUACAUCUUUGAAACUGAGCAGAUUCCUUUUUGAUCGAAUGCUUAGAAACGCAUUCUCAAUAUGCAGGAUUGUGCCAUUUGGCAAAAUAAUUGCAGCAUUCCCAAAACCAUCAAUAAUCGGAAAAUGACCUGAUAUUGUAUGGAUUUGUGCCUUAUGCAAUGUCAUACUCGAGAAAAAGCGUCUACUACAAAAUAUAGUAUGUGUUGUUGCACUAUCAAGCAAACAAACAUCUUCCUUUUUCUCGGUAUUUUCCAUUUGCAUUUAUAUUGACAACUUCAGGUGUCAAGUAUCAUAAAAGUUGCAUAUUAGUUAUAUAGUCAAAUAAAAUUUCAAAGAUAAAUAUAAGGUAAGGUUCAUAAGUAUUUCAUAAAGAACAAUAAAAAAAAAGUAAUACAUUUAAAGCGAAACAACAUAAAUUUCAAAGUUCAAAUUAUUAUCCACCAAUCUGAUUUAUCAAAGUAAUCAGAGGUCCUCAAAGAAAUCAGAGACACCCAAUGAUGCAUUUGCUACUUCGGGAGCAAGAGGAGUCCCACCAACGGAGAUAUUGUUGGCCUCAACAGUGGUUAUGGCAGUAGGAUUGAUUUCAAUGACAUGAGAUUCACCACGCUUGCCCGUAUUCUUUAAAGAUGCCUGGUAUAGAUCAACAAAAUGUUUUGGCGUACGACAGGUACGUGACCAGUGCCCAGUCAUGCCACAACGAUGACAAAUACUUUCAUUAAUCACCUUCUUUGGCUUCUUUUCUUUGCCAUGAUUCAGGCCAAAGUUUGAUUUCCUAGGGCGGUUAAAUUUCUUGACAUCCCUUCUAGGAUUAUGUUCUUGCCUGCGCUUAUAGCCCUUAAAAUGGCCAGUAUUUUUCUCAAAGUUAGCAUGUGCUUCAGGCAAUGCUUUUGAGCCAGCAGGUCUAAGAUCAUGAUUUUUUAGCAGCAAUUCAUUAGUUUGCUCGGCAGUAAGAAGCACAGAAAUUAAUUCAGAAUAUGUGGCAAACUGACGUUGCCGGUAUUGCUGUUGCAAUACAAUAUUUGAAGCAUGGAAGGUGGAGAAAGUUUUCUCAAGCAAUUCUGCAUCAGUGAGUUUGAUACUGCAUAACUCAAGUCGAGAAACGAUAUCAAAUAAAGCAGAAUUAUAGUCAGACACUGAUUUAAAAUCUUGCAGUCUGAGAUUUUGCCAAUCAUAUUGUGCUUGAGGGAGGAUAACAGUUUUGGUAUGAUCAUACCUAUCCUUCAACCUCCUCCACAAGAUAUGAGGAUCUCGAACGGAUAAAUAUUGAGUCUGCAGGCUCUCAUGCAAAUGACGACGAAUAAAAAUCAGUGCAUUUGCUUUAUCCUUUUCAUUUGAGGUUCCAUCCUCUGUAAUUGUAUUGGCGAGACCUUGCCCUUGGAGGUGCAUUUCCAUGUCAAGGCACCAGGAUAGAUAAUUUUUUCCACUCACUUCCAAGAUGUGGAAUUUGGGCUUUUCAAUAUUUGCCAUAAUCCUUGCAAAAAUAAAUCCUUAAAUUAAUUAAAAGGAUUUCCAAAUAUCCACCGCUACUUCAGGAGCAGAAGGAUACUUUUAGAUUUAAAAUUUUGGCUUCGGGCCAAGAAAAAUAAAAAUGAAUAAUUGAUAGAAGAAGAUGAAGUAUAAGUUGAUCAAUAAAAAGAAUACCCACCUUGCAAAAAUCACUUACUCAAUCGGUAGAUCUUCGUGCUUGCAAAAGUUACUUACUCAAUCGGUAGAUCCUCGUGCUGAUAACGUGUUGUAAAAUAUCGCGUGGCGAAUAUAUAAUAGAGAAGAGAUUAAAGAAGAGAAAGCAAGUGAACACUAGAGAUAGUAGCAAGAUGAGAGAGCUUUAUUUAUAGUAUCUCACUGUCGUGUUUCUGUGUGAUAGUGUAUUGUACAUCAAAACUAAACUCCUAUUUAUAGGAGAACAAGAAUGUACUUAUCAUUAAUAUCAAUGUAUCGAAUGAUACAUGUACAGGAUAAGGGAGACGAACGUUCAUUGUAUAAGGAGAUGUACUUAGAACAUUUGAUACAAAUGUACCAUAAUAAGUACAUUGGAUAAGAUGAAUAUAAUGAAUAUUCAUUCAUGUAUUCUAUCCAUUCAUGUAUUUCAUAACAAAGAUGGUAUAUUUAUAACAAAUUUACCCGUCAAUAUAUUGAUAUAUUGAUAUAAAUAUUUUUAAUUAGUUUAAUAUGAGGCUAGUUUGCGCGGGCUGAAUAGAGUUCGGUUUGUGAUGAGAAGACAUGUGACUGAAAACUAUAUAUAUAUAGUACUCAAGUCUCCUUUCUAAUCUUGAUACACAAAUAACUUUAUAUAAGGAGCAGUUGUAGAAUGCAACAUUGAGCCAAUAUUACAAUUAGAUCAAUGUUAUUCCAUAUUAAAAAUAAUGGAUUUCAAAUCAGAUGCACAAAUCUUUUUGUCUCCAUUUAUUGUGUUCUAAAUUUUAAUUAUGGAGAUCUUCGGAUGGCUUUCAUGGCUUGUAUGCACAUGGUGAACCAUUGUGUCACUACGGGGCACACCGGCUUUGCUUCCCAAAUGCAGGCGCCGCACUAUGAAAUGCUUCGUCCCGAGGCAUCAUGCGACAAAGCCUUUUUUCCUCGAGCCUGGGUGGGUCGCUGUCUCCUCGUCCUCCCUACGUCGUGCAAUGAUGUUUGUUACUGCAGAAAUGCAUGUAAAGCUUUCAUCUUUACACGUCAAUUCCACGUUUCGGCGAACUCAUGUCUCCUUUUCUGACCCCGCGAGUCCGAUUCAGGCUAGCAACGACAAAAGAAGAGGAUAAGGAAGGGGAAAAGCAAGCAUCUUGGUUUCUUUCACCCUAGGACUGUCCAGUGUCCACUGUUCGUCUGCCUGAAAUGUAUCAAAUCUUGAGUAAAUUUACUUUUCAAGAAAUUAAAACUACUUUUUUUAUAUCCAAAACGGUAAAUAGAUCGAAAGAUGGAUGAAUUUGAACCCGAAAUCGACGAAGAACAUGAACUUCUUGCUUAUGAUGAACAUUAUUUAAUCGUUUCGAUUUUUUUAUUUAAAUUAUGAGCAUUUGUAUCGAUGUGUUAUUACAAAAACUUCUCAAAGUUUCAGAUGCCUUCCCAUCGAUGAUUUUGCUAAAUUCUCCGCAGAGUGAGCUGCCAUCAAGACGUUAAUUGAACAAUUGAAAAUGUUUAUUAUCAAGCAUUUUUAAAUUAAAAGAGAUUCAAUUACAUAACUUCUAGAAUCUCUCAAUUAUGUUCUCUCCAUAAUGAAUUAUAACAGUUGUGGACUAUCUAAAUGCUUUCGAGUGAGAUUUUAUUUUUCACUUGGUCUUAAGUUCUAUUUUGAUUCAUUAUAAAAUCACCACUCUUUUUCUACGUUUUCAUUAAUUUUUUUUUUUUUUUUUUUGGUAAAGGGUAAUGAUAUAUUGAGCUAUAACCAGCAAAUAUACAGGAUCCGGCACCACAAAACUUGCACUCAACAAGACAGAAGCCUCUAAUCGAGUGAAAGGGCGCCAGACACAAAACACCGCAAAGCGGUCAACUCAAGCAAGGGCCGAAACAGGAAGCCCAAAACAGCGACGCAGGGUCGAAGCAACAACUAAAAACAGACAGACUAAACAAAAGGCCACGUAGGGCCAAGGAGAAACAACUCGCAAAACUAGACUAAGGCGACCUCGACGAUCGGCAUAGGAGAGUUGAAGAUAGAUGGGUCAAGGCCCCAGUUUCUUUGUAACCUCCUAUUCCUUGGGCAAUCUUCCACGCUUUUGAACGUUAAGGCUUUAUCCUUCACAACUUUAAUGAGAUGCUUCUUGAUAGCCGCAACCACAACCGGAUGAUCUCUAAAGAGGAUGUCGUUUCUAUACCUCCAAAUGAGAUGGCACAAAGCUCCAAAAGAGAAGCGACCAAUGGCGUGAUAGAAAUCCUUACCUGUAAGGAAUCUCAUUGCCCACUGAAGAUUUUCUGUCCAAGUCCCAUUUCUCCAUGGGAGAUUGCACCUGGCCGCCCAAAAGUAGGCCAUGCUAGCCGUGAUGCAGCAACCAAAGAAGAGGUGGUCAAUAGAAUCCGGCGUGAGCUUGCAAAAAGCACAUACUUCAUUCCCAAUUCUCCCAUAAGACAUAAGAAAAGCUUGGGUAGGAAGUCGGUUCUUAGUGAUCAGCCAGAGGUUGAAUUGGUAUCUCGGAGUGAUGGCCUUGUUCCAAAUAAAGGAUGACCAUACCACCUUAUCUUUCCUUUUUCUGAGUAAAUGCCAAGCUGAGGCAAUCGAGAAGACCCCGGAAGGAUCAUCUCUCCAUACAAAUCUAUCCGGAACCCUAGUGAGAAGAGGAAGGGGAUGGUUCCAAGAAUCCAUCACUAGCCUGAAUUCCCGACCCGCCGAAGAAAAAAGGUCUGCGACAACUGCAUACCACGGUAGUCCCGAAUCAGAGAUAGUCUGCUCAGAACAAAUAAGAUCCAGCGGACCUCUCUGAUGCCAAUGGUCAAACCAAAGGGAUGUCCCCUGGCCAUCUCCAAUCUUCCAGUGGAAGUUGAGGCGGAAUUCGGAUCUAAGGUGGAGGAUCCUCUUCCAAGCCCAUGAGCAGCUGCCCGGCGUCUUAGCCACCCAGAAGUUCGCCUUACGAAGAAAAGUAGAGUGAAUCCAUUUGCACCAAAGAGACUCCUUGUCCGUGAAUAGGAUCCAGAUGUGCUUGAGCAUUGCCGCCUUAUUGCACUCUCGCAAACAUCGAAUCCCAAGGCCCCCUUCUUCCCUUGGGAGACAGACAUCCUCCCAGGAAACCUUAGCUCCUCCCCUGCCAAGGCUGGGUCCCUUCCAUAAGAAUUGUCUAAGAAUCUGCUCGAUACGGUCCAGGACUCCUACAGGAAUAAUGAACACACUAGCCCAAUAGGCUUGAAUUGCAUGGAGCACUGACCUUAUUAGCUGAACUCUCCCUACAAAUGAGAGAAAUCGAUGGGUCCAAGAUUGCACCCUAGCCAUUAUGCGAUCGACUAGAGCUACACAAUCCGCCUUCCCGAGCCUCGAGGAAAUAAUCGGUGUUCCUAGAUAACGUACCGGCAAUUUUCCUUCCACAAAACCGAAUGUAUCCUUUAUAUGGCCUCUCAAUUCAUCCGAUCCCCCUGCAAGAAAUACCUCACUUUUGCUAUUGUUCGGCUUGAGUCCACUCCACUUCGAGAAGGUAUCCAGCCCAUCCUUUAGCAGCCGGAUGGAGACCAUAUCCGCACGGCAAAAGAGGAAGACAUCGUCCGCAAAGAAAAGAUGAGAUAACCGAGUGGCCUUGCACCUCCAAGAGAACUUGAAACCCGGCUGCUCCGCACUAGAAGUAAGGAUCCCGGAGAAGACUUCCAUAACCAAGGUGAAAAGAUAAGGAGACAUUGGGUCACCCUGUCGAAGGCCGCGGCUACUAGGGAAGAAUCCAUGGAAAUCCCCAUUCAAGGAGAUAGAAAACAUCGGGGUACGAACACAUAUCAUGAUAAGGCGAAUGAAGUGGUCCGGGAACCGAAAGGCACGAAGAACUGAUUCGAGGAAAUCCCAAUCCACCGUAUCGUAAGCUUUCUGAAAGUCUACCUUUACCGCACAUUUGGGGAGAUAUGGCUGCAGGUGAAAGCCGGCAAAUAACUCCUGGGCUAGGAGGAUAUUAUCACUAAUCCGUCGACCCUUCACGAACGCAUUCUGAGAAGGGCUUAUGGCAUCCUGGAGUACUGAGGCGAUGCGGUUAGCCAAUACCUUGGUAAUGCAUUUGUAGAUCGUAUUGCAGCAAGCGAUGGGCCUAUAAUCAUUAACCGAGGUAGCAUUAGGAAUCUUAGGGAUCAACACCAGGAUGGUGGAAUUAAUUUCCCUUAAUAGUCUCCCCGUAACAAAUAAAUCUUUUACAGCUUCAACCGUCAACGGUCCAACAAUAUCCCAAUUACUCUUGAAGAAUUCGACACCAAACCCAUCAGGACCCGGUGCCUUCCCACGUGCUAGAGAAAAGAUAGUGUCCUUAAUUUCCGUCUCCGAAAAGGGACGACCAAGAGAAGCGAUUUGAUCCUCUGAGAGCGGACGACGGAUGGCUUGCUGAAGGUCUCCGAAGGCCGGUCCAAUAGGAGGAGAGCGUGAUGCAAACAACUCCUUAAAAUGAGCGACAAAUGUAUCCUAAACAAGGCUCGGCUCGGAGACAAGGUUGCCAUUCCUAUCAAGAACCGAUAUAACCCUAUUCCUUAGUUGCCUCGUAGUCACAGAGUGAUGAAAGUAUUUAGUGUUUUUAUCACCCCUCUCAAGCCAACGGAUUCUGGAUUUCUGUCUGAAGAAAGCCUCCUCCUGACUCCUCAACUCAACGAACAUCCUCCGAUGACUUUUUUCUAGCUCUGCCAAGAGGGCAUUGGUCUGGUCGUGCUGAAGGGCCACUUGAGCUAGUGUAAGAGCAUUUCUGGAUUGAGCAACCCUCUCGGACAGGUUGGAGAAAGAGUCUCUAUUCAACUGCUUAAGACGCCCCUUGAGCGCUUUCAAUUUGGUAACCAACCUGAAGAUGGGUACUCCAUCACUCGGGGUCUGCCACACCUGGGUAAGAAUAUCCUGAAAAGAUGGGUGCUCCAUCCAGAAAUCAAAGAAUUUGAAGGGCUUUCUUCGAAAAACUGGCUGGAUCACCUUGACCACCAUAGGAGAGUGGUCUGAAAUACCAUAAGGUAAAAAGGAAGCUUCUGAGUAAGAGAAAUACAAGCUCCAGAGAGCGUUAACUAGAACCCGAUCAAUCUUCCUCGCUUUCCGAUUAGCCCCCGAAGACGUUGACCAAGUAAACCUAAGUCCAACAUAUCUCAAAUCCUCAAGCUCUGCCUGAUGCAGACACUGAUUAAACUCAUCAAAGCAGGGCGGCCAGGCAUUAGUACCCCCUAGCCUAUCAGACGGGUCUCUUAGGGCAUUGAAGUCACCCGCCACCAUCCACGGUAAGUCGAAAAUACAAGAACUCAUCCUGAUCAAGUCCACCCAUAGAGGUCUCCUACGAACAUAAGAAUUCUGAGCAUAGACUACCGAGAUACAACAACAAGAACCUGUCGAGAUCAGUCUAACUCUUCCAUGAAUAACCUGAUCAUUGGAGGAUAUCUCCUCAAAACAGACCAGCGAAGGGUCCCAGCCGAUCCACACCCUACCCCCCGGAGAAGAAUCAUAGUUGGCAAUCCACGUCCACCCCGAUAAUAGACUCGACGACAGAGAGCCAAAAAGAUGUUCCGGGACUUUAGUUUCCAAUAACCCAACCAAACAAAGGCCACUAGAGAGAGCCCACUUACGGACCUCGGCUCUCCUCAAAGGAUUCACGAGACCUCUAAUAUUCCAAUAACCGAAAUACAUCUAAGCUAUGUACAAACUACUCUAAACAACGAAGAGCAAAGGGCAGCAAGGCCUACCUCAAUUUCUGAGGCCUGCGGCGCGAAGCUCCGGACGGCUCAACAGUCUCCACCGGCUCUGGGACAGGGGCUAAGGACAGCAACCUGUGUUGGAUUGUUUCGACUGAUGUAUCUGUCAAGCGAGGAGGCUGACACGGCGCUUCUGGGGAGGAGAUAUCAUCAUCCUCUGAGGAAGAGGCAACCUCUUCCAAACGCUUUCCAGAGUCCUUCAAGGAUGGGGCACGGGUAGGUCGGGACCCAGCCGUGAGAGAGGAGACGACUUUAGGGGGAGCACUGGCGCCCCUAGCCCCCUUGCGAGCAGAGGCGGAAGGAGGGGGAGCUGCUACCAGCGGUCUGUCCCCAGAAGGCUGGUUAGCAGCCGAAGGGAGAGGGGAUUCACCUAUCUUGAGGUCCUUAUUCCUCUUCCUCCUGUUCUUCACCCUUCUUCAAGGUUGAUCCUGGUCGGGCAAAGUUGGAGUCGGUUGAGGGGAGUCGCUAACAUCUGUGGGGGACGCCUGCACAGAGACCGUGGAAGGUUGCAACCGAACCGGAUCUAUAUCAGACUGAGGUGGGAUGGGGGCAUCCACCGCCCGAGGCGGACUCGGAUCAACUUCUGGCCUCUGCACAUCCUGUUCCAAGACAACAGGCGAAGGAGGAGUGGCCGAUCGCGGAUCUGGAGCAUGGACGACCGGCUGAGCAGGAGCAACCGCAUUCUGCCUAGCUGGAUGACGGACAGCCUGUCCUGCAUUCUGUGUGCGCCUCGUGGGAUUUUCCGGGGGGGGAGCACGGCAGUUGUGGCCGAAGGCGUUGCAAUCCGGACAUGCAAUCGGGAGCCAUUCAUAUUCAAUAUUAAUGACCCGAGAGACACCCUUCAAGGUGACUUUGGCCUUCUCAACUCUUGGCUGAUUGGCCGUGACCUCGACACAAACUCUUGCGAAGGAGACCAUCUUCAUUUCGUCGGUCCGUUGAUCCACAUACAACGGCUUCCCCGCCACACUAGCUAUGGCACUCAUGGCUGGCACUGUCCAAAUGUCAAAUGGCAAAUUCCGUAGGCGAAUCCAAACGGGUAUGGUGGAAUGCUCUUCUCUCUUCAAAUCCAUGAGAGGCUUCCACUGCCGAAGUAUUAACGGCACCCUUGCAAUCGUGAUCGGCCCAUCUUCAAGGAUCUUUCUUCUAAAUCCGGGGUCCGGGAUUUGGAGAAAGAGGAAUCCUUGAUCGUCGGCAAAGAUUUCACCAAUCUUGGAGCCCCACGUUUUCCUCAGCACUUGCUCCACCAAUCCGAAUGGUAGCCUCCUUUUCGCAACCAAUUGGCCAACCAAGCAGUCAUGCCAUUUCGGGUCCAUAGCAUCAAGUGCUUCAUCCGGGAGAUUCACAACAGCCUCUCCCUCCACAAAGGUGGGUGGAACAUAAGACAAUUCGGAACCUUUCACAGCCAAUCUAGCCACAUUUGCCCAAGAACGUGCCGGGGCUUCAUGGUGACCAGCAGGUGCUUUCCCUGGGUGCUUGGAAGUUGAGCGAAAUCGGCUUCGUCCUCUCGACCGACGAGCGCGAAGGUCAGACUCCUUCGAAGCUUGCUGCCUAUUCUUCAUUUCUGUGUGUCUGGAUGAAGAAGCCGAUGCCUUACUAGGUCUAUUAGAAGCAGGGAGUGGAAGCCCUUCCGAGGCAGCAGCCAAAGGUCGGGCAUCUCCAGAAUUGAUUCCAUCCCCAGCAGCAGACAAAGACAUUCUCACAAACACCUUAUCUAUAUCCCAAUUGCAGCAAGCGAAAUCACCAUUGAACAGAGAAGACUUACCCGGACUGAAGUCAGCAACACCCCUGGGUCCAGAAGAGACCAAGCUCGCACGGCAGAAGCACUAGAAAACCAGAGCAGCUCGAAUCUACAGCUUGCUGGGAGACAACAGCAGGAGAAGCCAAGCUAGGAAGCUGUAGGAGAAUCCCCCGGCAGAACCGAAUCCCUAGCCGUUUCCCUUCAACCCGCAGAUGAGGAGCGAACAGCAGCUCCCACGUACAGUCACGCGCAGCAACUUAUCCGGAUGGAAUUCCUCAACCAGCUCAACCCAACCAGGGACAUUCGGAGGGUGCGAAGGGCUAAGUCUGGCUAGACUCUCUUCCGAGACUCAGCCAAAAACAGCCAUGGAAUCUCACCAAACGAACAGCAGAACAGUCGGACAACCAGAGGAGAAAACUGCAGAAAUUCGUACCCUAGGCCAGACGAUUUCUCUGCAUGCAGGCCUUCUAUUGCGAAACCGUUCGGUGGAAACGUAGAGGGGAUUGAGCUGAAUCUUCCUUCCGAAAAUCAGCCGAAACCACCCAUCGUAACUCCUCAAACGAACAACAGAUCAGCCAGAAACCAGAGAGAAAAACUGGGCAGUAAUUCGUAACCUAUGCCAGACGAUUUCUUUGCACACAGGCCAUCUUAUGCGAAACCGUUCGGUGGGAAUGUAGAGGGGCCUGAGCUGAAGCUUCAUUCCGAAAAUCAGCCGAAGACACCCAUCGUAGCUCCUUCAACGAACACAAAAACAGCCGAGAAACCAGAGGAGAAAACUGGGCAGAAAUUCGUAACCUGGGGCAGACGAUUUCUCUGCAUCUAGGCCAUCUUUCGCGAAACCGUUCGGUGGAAACGUAGAGGGGACUGAGCUGAAGCUUCCCUCCGAAAAUCAGCGCAUUCCGACACCCAUAGCCACGGGAAUCAGCAACACACCAGACGGAUGAACAGUGACUCGGGAAUCCGAGUUGAGAGCAUCCGAUGAACAGUACCACCCAAUUUUUAAUCCUUAAGGGCGGUACGUUUUCAUUAAUUCAAUAUGACAAUAAGCAUAAAAAAUCUGCACUAACUUUAUUUCAUGUAUUCCUUUCACAAUAAUCUUCAACAAAUACAUUUAGAGUCUACAUGGCAACAUUCCUAUUUCUUUGUUCUUUUGUUCUCUGAAAUAGAAAAUGAAUAGAAAUUCAUUUGAUAACGUCAGUUAAUUUUUCUAUACUCCAGAAUAGAAAAGUGGUUAGGGAAUAGAUUUAUAAUAGAAACAAGAAGUAUAAAAAAAUAUCUUAUUGUUUUCGGGAACAAUUUUUGGAAAUAAGUCAUUUUUUUUCUUUUCUUUUUUUCUCCUUCCUCACGCCGCCACCACUGUUCGCCAUCGCAUGCUGCCUGUCUCUGCCCAACAACCAGCUAGAGGAGGAAGAAGAGGAGAGGAAAAAAAAAAGAGAAAAAAUCUCUAAAAAAAUAUUAAAAAAUUAAAAGAAAUUCUAUGGCACAAAAAAAACUUGUGGGUCGUACUAAACACGUUCUUGCUUUUUUUAUUUAUUAUGAAAAUAAAAAAUUUAUGCAGUUACCAAACGCGUUAUUUUAUUCCAAAACUACUCUAGGGAAUAGAAAUAGCACCCUUCAACUUUGGUGGAUACGUUCCUUAAUGAAGUCAAUAUUCUCGGACAUUAUUAAAGUUAUCUACUACACAAUGCGCUGCCUGUCGUCUAGUAAAUCGUAUGGAAAAAAGAGAUGUGAAAUGAGUAUCACUUUAGAAAAAGUCAGAAGUUCUUUAGACAUAUAAUAUUAUAAAAAGUCGCGCCGGCAAUCUCUCGUUUCAAUCGCAAAGCCAAGGAAAAUCCCCCAUUAACCUUACAUACUCAAGUAGUGCCCUUAUUGAGACAAAUGAUAAGGCAAAGACAUCUAUGUUUAAUGUAAAAGUCCACGAAAUGUUCUAUCAAGUUCAUGUGGAACAAAUGUCUGAAACAUUGGUACAUACAUCAAUAUUGAUAUAUUAUUAAAAACUCUUUAAAAGGUUUGCCCGAAAACUCAACACUUAAAAUUGUUAAUAGUUAGAGACGCCUCAUCCUUAUUAUUUUUGCCAAAUCCUUGACAAAGUGAGCUGCUAUCAGAUGUCGUUUUCUAACAAGUAUUGUCAAUCAAAGGAGAAUCAAUUGGGUAAUUCAUAUCGUCUCUUAAUUAUUUCUCUCCAUAUGGACUUCCAAAACUCCAUUGAGAGUGUGUUUCAGAAGAGUAAAUGCCGUCACUAUGUUAUGCUGUGGAGUGUCGCUCUUUCACUUUGCUUUAAGUUCUAUUUCUAUUAAUUACAAAAACACAAAUCAUUUUCUACGUUUUGAUUGAUUCGGGACGACAAUAUGCAUUAAAAGGUCUGCACUAACAUUGUUUCAAGCUCUCCUCGCAGGAUUAUAUUGAAUAAGUGCAUUUAAAACAUCUGGCCGUGGUUAAAACUUUCUUAUAUAAAAAUGUUGAAAUAUAAUAUUUUGAAAUAUCAGCAGAAUCCUUAGAUUUUUAUCGUUAUAUAGCAUGAUGCGUGGAUCGUAAAGAUGUCACGAGAUAAUCACUUUAAUAAAAGGUCAAUAGACUAAAAGCCUUUAUAAAGCUGAUAACUAAAUUCAAUCGAUUUUGCACCGAAUGCUAAAGAGAUGUAAUAGGUUGGGUAAUCUAUUUACAUUUGAUGUGCAUUCACAUGAUGAUAGAUAGAUAUCAUGUUCCGAUGCUUCGAUUCGGUAAAUUGUAGGACUUGUCAUCAUCGUGCAUGGUGAACCACUGCAUCGCUACCGGUGGAGGUAUUAAAAUGGGUUUAAAAUCCAUAUUUUGACUCAUAUUUAAUGGCAUGAGUCGUAAAUGGGUUACCUUAAAUUUUAAAAACAAGCUUAAGUAGGUUAUAAAUGGGUUACUUAACAAUUUAAUUGGUCUUAAAUGUGUAUUAAAUAGGUUACGUAACAAGCUUAAAUGAAUCAUAAACAAGUCAUUUUUAUCUAAAAUUUUUCUGACUUUUUUUUUAUAAUUUUUUUUUUAAAAUUCUUUCUUAGUUGGUGGCUAUCAUGAAGACAAUUGGCAAAUGGCCACGGACACGGACAAGCUCAUCGACCUUUGGCACCGGCGAGGCUCAAGCCUUGUCAAUUUGGUGAGAUUCGAGCUAGCUAGAGGUCAUCGAGCGCUAGGGGCUAGCGAGCUCAAGCUUGCAAUCUGACCUCUACCGAGGCUUGAGCUCGCUAGCAUCGAGCAAGAGUUUAGCUUUGCUAGAUCUAGAGAGGUGGAGCAUCGCCCGAGGCGAGCUUAGCUUGGCUAGAUCCAACUUUGGUUGAUUUUAAAUUUUGAAUAUCUAUAUUGACGUACUAUCACAAAAACUUCUCACGAGAUUGCCUGGAAACUUGAGACUUAAAACUAUAGAUAGUUAACGAUGUCUCAAAAAAGUGAGCCGCCAACUACUUGUUAUCUGAACAAUUGAAUAUGUUUAUUAUUGAGUUUUUCUUCUUCUUCUUCUUUUUUAUCAAAAGAGAAUAAAUUACAUAAUUUCUACCGUCUCUUAAUUAUUUUCGUCCCUAAUGAGCUAUAAUAAUUGUAGACUAUGCAAAUGCUAUUGAGUGUGAUUUAUUUUUCACUUUGUUUUAAGUUUUAUUUUGAUGUAUUAUAAGUCACCACUCAUUUUCUAUGUUUUCAUCAAUUCAAUACAACAAUAUGAAUCUGCACUUACUUUGUUUCACGUGAUUCCUUACACAAUGGUCCUCGAUAACCCACAUAUCCAACUUUGGUUGGUACGUUCCUUGAUAAUGUCAGAGUAUGAUAUUCUCAAACAUUAUUAAAGUUAUCUAACGUACAAUGCUCGGAUUGUUAUCUAGUAAAUCGUACAAAAAAAGAAAAAGUCUGAAAUUCUUUAGACGAACGGCUUUUCAAAAAGCCAUGUUGGCAAUCUCGCAUUUCAUUCGCAAAGCCGAGGAAAAUCUGUCCCCAUUAACCUCAUAUAAUUCUACAGUUCCUAUUAUUGAGACAAAUGACGAGGCAAACAUAUUUAUGCUUGGUGUAAAUUCCACAAAAUGUUAGAUCAAGUUCAUGUUGGACAAAUGCCUGAAACAUUGGCACAGACGUAAGAAUUACUGGUCAACCUAAAGUGACCCCCUGAGAAGUAUAGAUAUUUCAAUAUUAUGACUACAAUCUACAUUAGACUUGGGAAUCUAUAAUAUGUAUUGUCUGAAGGGGCCAUGAGAACCACGACACCCGAUUUUAAUAAUAAUUAAGUAUGCACAUAAACUAUUUCCAUGACUUGUAAUUUAUCAAUCGAAGAAAGGGUAGAAAGAGAUUUCUUCCAUCUUGGAGGAAAGCCUAGCCUUAUCCAAUGUUCAGCCUAACAUUUUAUCUUAUCUUACUAUAAGUGGUCUUUCAACAUGUGUAAAGGAGAUGAAAUCAGUCCCACUUACAAAAAUUUGGGAUUCAAAAGUGCCUGACUCUGGCUCGAUUACAAUUUAUGAUCAUGUCAACGAGUGGCCAAAUUUUUGUUUAUCAUUCGUCAUUUAAGAUAUCGCAUCAUUUGUAGCACAAUUAUGUAUGCGGCAAAAAAAAAGAAAAACAUUUAAGUCGUAUCGCAACAAUUUUACAUUACAUAUGAGAAGUCAAAUUAACUCUGAAAAGCUAGUCAGUGUAUAUCGCACCUGGAAAUGGAGUCCUGAAAUUUCAAUGUCUUGAGGGACAUCAACAAGCUGCCUCUUCGCGUUGCUGGGUGUCCCAUCCCUCAGUAUCUCGAAGUUGAUCCCGUAAUUGGAACUCGAACCGGGCACUUGGAGGAGAUCGUUUUCGCGCCAUGCAUGUUGACCGUGAUCAUCGAUGGCCGCCGACAUUUGCCUCAAAUAAGCUUUACUUAGCAUGCCUCUUAUCCCGCUGGGCCCUGAUGGCCUAACACGGUACCGAGACCUGAUUUUGGUACACUUUAGUUCCCUUCUUUUUGUACAUUGCUUUCGCAAUCCCGGAAUUUGAGAUCUGCAGUGCUUGUGACAUAGGUUUGAGCAGCUUUCCUCCAUUCAGAAAUUACCAGAUCUCUGGCCUAGACUGUCUUUAAGCAUCGAAUAGGUUUAGAAGUUUCAGAGGCCGAGUGAAAGUUUUCAGGUUUCAGUUGUCCAUCAGCACUUGGCCCCAGCAAAAGAAGCCUAAAUGAGAUAUUGCUCAAUUUAUCUGGUCACACUGCCCACAUACUCUGUUGAUGUUAUAAUCCUAAACGAUGGAUAUGCAUUGCCGGCACAAAGCUAUUUGAUUCCGGCAUUCUACAAGGGGAAUGUCCCUCGACCAAGGGUGUCCACUUGACCAGUGGUUUGAAUCCGAGAUGCCAUCGUCUUUGGUGGGAAGGAUGUCUAUAUGACUUGUUGCAGCCUAAUCCGUUGCCUGUUGCGACCAAGUAAACCCUCAACUACAUUCCGUCGAACCAUGCCAACUUUGGUUGUGCUUUUGUGGACUCCUGAAGGGCAAUCUUGCGAAGGGGGACUCCUUAGGUUAGGCUAUCCCUUGGUGGGAGUUCGCAUGACUGUCACACCCAUCUGGAAUUUGUCCUCUAUGCCGCGACUUCCAUCGACCUGCACAUCAGGCCCAAUCUGCACGAUACUUUCUUCUCUAGGGGUGAGGUCAUAUGAUGCCAUUGCCAUGCGCUCAUGCAUGAGAAAAAUCCCUUAAAAGCAGGCCGCGCGCUGAUCAGUUGCUUGAGAAAGAAGCCUAAUGCCAUCUGCACAGGGUCGACAGUCCUGCAUAUUCUUGGAGUAGCCCCCCAGAGAUGAUGAUUCAAGAUCAGAUGAGCCUCAAUGCGGGCCAAGGGAUGGACAGCUAGUUAUUGUUCUACAAUGAUAGUGACAUGCUAGCUCCUUUGAUCGAUAUAUGUCGAACAAAUCUGCUGGAUCGACAGCUAGUCUUUGUUCUACAAUGAUAUGUGAUAUGCUAGCUCCUUUAAUCGAUAUAUGUCGAACAAAUCUGCUUGAAGAGCCUGAUCGAAGAGAUCCUUGUCUACUUUCAUCGUUUCCUUCUUUUUCUAGAAAUCUCAUCUAACCAAAUCCGCUCGUUAUUGUUUUACAAUGUACUAGCAUGGAAAGGAGUUCCAUGCUACUAAUUGCAAACGAGUUGGUAGUGUCGGUAACUUGUUCAUCUAGUUGCGUAUUGGUAACUUUCAACAAGUUAAAACAAAUAUCAAAGUUUCUUUAUUCCUCAAAUUUACCAACCAUUUUAAUAAUCUACCAACAUUUACUUUUGUGACUUACCAACCAUUUGAAAUUACUAAAUCUUAAUUUGAUUAAUAUACCAACAUUCAGUUAUCAACUUUGUUUUAGAAACUGAUUUCUUUGUGAUUUACCUGUGAUUACCAAUGCUUUCGAAGCACAACUUCAUUUAAAAAUUUCCCACCUUAGUUUCACUCACAUAUCACAUUCAUCACAUUAACAAANNNNNNNNNNNNNNNNNNNNNNNNNNNNNNNNNNNNNNNNNNNNNNNNNNNNNNNNNNNNNNNNNNNNNNNNNNNNNNNNNNNNNNNNNNNNNNNNNNNNNNNNNNNNNNNNNNNNNNNNNNNNNNNNNNNNNNNNNNNNNNNNNNNNNNNNNNNNNNNNNNNNNNNNNNNNNNNNNNNNNNNNNNNNNNNNNNNNNNNNNNNNNNNNNNNNNNNNNNNNNNNNNNNNNNNNNNNNNNNNNNNNNNNNNNNNNNNNNNNNNNNNNNNNNNNNNNNNNNNNNNNNNNNNNNNNNNNNNNNNNNNNNNNNNNNNNNNNNNNNNNNNNNNNNNNNNNNNNNNNNNNNNNNNNNNNNNNNNNNNNNNNNNNNNNNNNNNNNNNNNNNNNNNNNNNNNNNNNNNNNNNNNNNNNNNNNNNNNNNNNNNNNNNNNNNNNNNNNNNNNNNNNNNNNNNNNNNNNNNNNNNNNNNNNNNNNNNNNNNNNNNNNNNNNNNNNNNNNNNNNNCCCUCGUCUCGGGCUCCAUAGCUGGGAGUCUCGCCGCCGCAGAGCUCGCACAGAGGCACGAAACAUGCUGGCAACGUCGGGACCCGUCGCCACAGCUGCUUCCUCGAGAUGUACACCGUCUGAUGAAUUUUCCUAUUGCACGAAUGCACGUAAAAACUACUUCUUUUCCCGUCAUUCCACGCCUGGGUGGGUGGAUUCAGCUCUCUCUUUUCGGACCAGGCAAGUCCGAUUCAGGCAAAAGAUUUUAGAAGAAAAUGACGAGCAGAACCGAAAAAGAAAUCUUGAAUUCUUGCACCCUAAGCUUUCUACAUAUACUAGGCAUGUCCACUGUUUUUUCCUGUUCGAAAUGUAUCACUUGCGCGUCUAUAUCUAUCUAUUGUUACAUGCGCUUUUCAAAGGAUUGCCUAGAAACUUCAAAACUUAAGUAGUAGAUAAUUAGAGAUGACUUCUCCUUAUCAGUUUUGCCUAAUUCUCAAACAAAAAUAGCUAUUGCCUAGACGCCACCUAAACAAUUUGGCGUGUUUUCCAUUUCGAUAUUAUUAAUUGAUGGAAAAUCAAUUAUGUAAAAUUUUACCAUCUCUCCGUCAUUUCUCUCCAUAACCAAGUUUAAUAUUUAUGGACUUUUUAAAUGUUAUUGAGUGCCGACUUCAGAAAAAUUAAACAUAGUCAUAAAUUAUCUAAAUGAUAAGCUUUUAAAAAAUUGAAUCGGUAAUUUUACACGAUUUAACAAGUUUCAUAUAAACAACUGAACAAAAUUCUACCAUCUCUCCGUCAUUUCUUAAUUCUACUUUCAGAGUGAACCCCUUGAAAAAAACUAAAAAAAAAAAAAAAAGACCCGAAUAUUUUAAUUAAAAAUUCGAAUUUUCUCUAUCAGUCUAGUAAAAUCCAGCAUCAAAACCCGCAAAAUGAGAAGGAAACCCGAAAUCCUGCGCUUGUUCUCCUGAAUCCUCCUGUGCCGUGCUUCCGCCGCACGCCGCCGAGCUCCGCCGGUCUCUGCCGCCGCACCCCGCCGGUCCCUCCGUCCGUCCAUAACCUGAAGGUGACUCUUUCUCCUCCUCAGCCCCUCUCGUGAAAUCUCUUCCUCUGCAAUUUCGUCGUCGCCGGCGUCUCUCCGUCGCCACCUCGCCGGACGCGCGAAUCCCUAAUUCGCGGCGGGCAGCUGUCUCCGGCGCUCCUCUCUGGCGGAACCUCGCCGACUGCUCAUGCGCUAGGAACCCCUGCGGCAGGAAAUUCGAGGGAUGGACGUGAUCUCCCAGCUGCAGGAGCAAGUCAACACGGUCGCGUCGGUCGCCUUCAACACCUUCGGCUCGCUGCAGAGGGACGCGCCCUCCGUGCGGCUCUCCGCGAGUUACCCCGAGCCGCCCCCGACCGCCGCCGCGGAGGACGCGUCCAGCUUCGCCGAGCAGCCCAAGCUGAUGAGUGCUGCUCUUGUCAAAGCCGCCAAGCAGGUUCGUGCCUCUCUCCGGCUUGCUAUCGCAAGUUAUUAGCGAGCUUGCUCAUCGUCUGCUUGAUGCAAUUGGAAGAAUUUAUUUGGCUAGGGCUUUAUGAAGAUUGAUUACUUGAUUUGUUGUGGCAAGAAAAGAAAUUUACUUGUGUAUGAGAAUUGUAUGUAUGGCUAAAAAUCUAGGUUAUGUCCGAAGUUUCGGCGGAGAGGUGUUCUUACUUCGAUUGGCUUUUGUGUGCGUUUAGUCUCAGUUUGGGGACUCUGUGCUCAUUCUUGCAGAGGACGUGACCAGAUUUCAUUCAUAAAUGUAUACUAUGGAAGUUCUCAUCGGUACAUCACGGAUGUGACGGGUAGUUUUGGAGAUGUAAUGCGAGUUGGGUAUUUGGUUCAAUUUUGUGUAUGCCUCCAUGUGUGUUAGUUAUUCCUACAGAAGAAAACGGGAUCUUCUCCAUUUCUUUCUUGUGGAUUCUGUUGGUGGAUAUAUCUGCCACGAGUAUCUCAGUGUGCAUAUAUACAUAGAAUGUGCUGUAAUUUGGUUUACACGAGUUGAAGAAUCUUUCGACUCAUAUGUGUGAAAUUGUUAUGCACAUUUGAAAGAGCCACCACUCUUGUGUAAUCACGACUAUCGUUUCUUUCAAAUGUGUUUCUGCAUCUUAAAGUCCGUAGAAUGGUUUGAGAUUGUAACUCCAUCAGCAUUCUUGAUCUUGAGUAAGGUGGAUUGUUGGUUUCUGAUUUCUAUCUCAUUCACUUUUGUUUUACUUCAUGCUUGAAGUAAAAUGAUGGUCGGUGUGACAUCCUAAAGACUCUGCAGCAUCAGUAUAUUCUUGCGGGUGAAGGCAAUUAGCCUCCAUUUUAGAGAUGAAGCAUUAUGCUUCAAGUUAUAAAAUUUGGUCUCUUUUCCACCAUUUGCUUUGGCAAUCUCAAUAAAGUUCUAUCGGAACUCUUUUUCUUCUGCAGUUUGAUGCCUUAGUAGCGGGACUUCCACUACCCGAGGGAGGUGAAGAAGCUCAACUCAAAAGGAUUGCAGACCUCCAGGUUAAGAGGACCCAUGGUUUUUGGCGUCUUUAGUUCAUUAUUUAUGUUGUUUAAGGCUGUUUCUUAUUCUUCCCAAAUUACCUUUGCACAGGCUGAGAAUGAUGCUGUAGGACAAGAGCUUCAGAAGCAACUUGAAGCUGCCGGUAAUUGCCCUAUCGAUGAGGGUGUGAGGGCAUUUGUCUUGUUCAAUUAUGUAUGUCAAUUUUUGGUCGAAAGUGAUAUUUUCUAUGAUUUUUGGCAUUGGCAGAGAAGGAAUUGAAGCUGGUCCAGGAGCUAUUCAGCCAGGCAACAGAUAACUGCUUCAAUUUGAAGAAACCAGAAUAAAAAUUGAGGACGCUUCUUUUCUUUACCUUUUUCGUAAAAUUUAUGCAGUAGAGAUGAUGACUGAGAGAAAUAGGCAUUCUACUGUUCGAAUAGUGCAAAGAGACCUGAGAUGUCGCAACUCUGUACGGGUGAGUUUUGAAGUCCUUGCCGAGUAAAAGUUUCUCAGUGCACAAAAAGCAUCAAUAUGGGCAUCAAGCCAACCA